RNAcentral lists this long non-coding RNA (65932 nucleotides) under Triticum aestivum (bread wheat). RNAcentral describes it as "long non-coding RNA (TAES_LNC018402)". Lineage: Eukaryota; Viridiplantae; Streptophyta; Magnoliopsida; Poales; Poaceae. The record is from RNAcentral.
AGGUACUGCUGAAGCUGGCCCGCAGUGCAUGUACCAGCUUAAUCCUUACUAUCAUAGUAGGUGCGAGACAAAUGAUGACAACGACAAUUGUCGAAGUGCUUGUAAAAAAUUUGAGGCACCAAAGUACAUGGGUGGUAUGUGCCAUGAUGAACAAUGCGUCUGUUAUACCUGUUAAUGAUCAUCGGACUCUUCCACCGCUGGGGUAGCCAUUAAGAUACAUCCACUUGUCCCUUGGUGGACACCACCAUAGAAAGAUUUGAGCUCCAAGGAAGAUUGUCUUUUUGGUGUAACAGAAUAAAUUGGCAAUGUAUCGAACUAUGAUUUAGCAAGUUUUUUUUCCCGAUGAGUUACAUCGAAGAGUUUCCAAUUGAUUUAUAAUUUUCGUCUAAUAUCUUGUAGGCAAACACCCCUUAAGACCUUAUUCUACUACCACUUGAUAGAGGCAAAGGUGUCCCGAUGUUUCGAUGAGAUGGAGGCCAUCGUUUUCUGUGGGAUUCGACCUUGACGAUCCGACUACGAACGUGCGAGACGUCAUGCCUUAGCAAUCGCUAAACCAACUUCCGAGGGUUAUUGACCACGCCGGAGCACGAUCAACCUGACUUCGAAGGUCUGUUUCCUGCGAGCAAAUGAAGAACAAGCAAGCAACUAAGAUUGCAAUCUGGAUAUUGCGAAUAUAAGAGGAAAGCUUUAUACUCCUAACAGUAGACCCCGAAACGACCCGAACACAGCAAAAAAACUAAAAGGAAAAAAAACCCACCCACCCUCCCGGCCGCGCCCACAAGGCCACGACUCGAUCUGCUUGUCUUCCUCCGCGCCCCACCACCUGACCCGCGCCGUUGCAUGCCCCUCGCACGCACACCUACCAGUGCCGGAUCAGGCCACCACGGGCUCCACUACAAAAAAAAUACACUUCCGUGAUGAUACGUGUUUGUCACAGUAGGUCGCAUUUUUGUCAUGCAUGUACAUCCAUGACAAAUUUAUGACAGAAUCAAGAUAGUCAAACCUGUGCUGUCGUAGAAGUGUUCCAUGACAUUACCAAAAUUAUCAUCACGGAAGUGUCCACUUCCAUGACGAUAAAUCACGCGUCACAGAAGUGCUUACCGACACGUGGCAUCCACCAUAACGGAAUACCGUUAAGCUAUCGGGUCGGGUUUUGGAUCCGAUAACCUGUUAACAGCCCCGACCAAUGGGGAUUUUCCAUGUGUAAAAUCAUCAUUGGCUGGAGGAAACACGUGUCGUCUCAUCGCUGGGACAGAUGUCAUCCACUCAUUGGACAGAAGGCGCCUAUGAUACGUCGACACAUGGCACGGCCCAACAGAGGCCCAUUCUUGUGAAAAGGCCGGCCCGUUUGACUUGGUCAAAAGCUGGCGGGCCGGCCCAUGUAAAGCCUGUUAACGGCCUAUUCGCAUAUAGCCCAUUUACAGCCCGCUACCCAAGGCCCGUUACGCCCUAUUCGAAUUAGGCCCAGUAGCGUCAUCUGGGCCACCCAAUAUGAUUCCAGCCCGUUUUCACUUAUGGCCCAUGUAUGGCCCAUGACGUCUUUCGGCCCAUAUGAGGCCCUAUGUAACUCUUGGCCUAUUAACGGCCCGUGGUGAAACUGGCCCGUAAUGAACAGUGUAUCACUUUACACCCAUUAACGGCCCGUGGUGAAACUGGCCCGUAAUGAACAGUGUAUCACUUUAUACCCAUUAACGGCCUGUUAUUCCGUUGGGCCGUUUCCAGCCCAUGUUAUCUUUCGGCCUUCUCAGAGCCAUUUAUUCUUGGGCUCAUUUCCAGCAUUCGUUUACUUAUGGCCCGUUACUGUCAUUUUCUGCUUGUGCCCAAAUUCAGCCCGUGGUUACAGUCGCGCCCAUUUGUGGUCCGUUAAUACGUUGGGCCGUUUUCAUAGCAUCAUCAAAUACGGCCUAUUAACGAUGGCCCGUUAUGGUCGGCCCAUGAACGGACGAUUCCAACUCUAGCCCGUUUACGACCAUAAUGCGGCAUGUUAUUGGCCCAUGUUUGGCCAAUCGAUCAUACUGCCCGUAUAAGGCCCAUUGAUGAUACGGCCCAUAGAAGGCACAUUGUUUCUACGGCCCAUAGAAGGCCCACUGUUUCUACGGCCCGUAGAAGGCCCACUGUUUCUACGGCCCAUAGAAGGCCCACUGUUUCUACGGCCCGUAGAAGGCCCACUGUUUCUUCGGCCCAUAGGAGGCCCAGUGUCACUACAGUAAAUAUUAGCCCAUGGUUAUUGUGGCCUAGUUUUAAAAAAUAGGUUAUUGCAGCCACUAGCACACCGCGGAAAAAGAACUGCAAUGACUACAAGCAAACAAAUAAACAAGACAACAAGGAAAUAAAUAAGCAAGCAACUUACGCUAGGCUAUCACGGCUAUCACACAUAUUAUAUCCACUGGGCAUCAAAGUUCGCCACCAGUGCAAAUAAACGCGCCGACAAAAGAAUAUACAAAACUGAGAGCACUUCAUAAGGCACUAGGCCUGGCCACGUCGGGCCCCCCAAACAGCUGAAGAAGUUGAGUAGACCUCAGUUGUGUCACCGAUAGAUGCAUCAACACUAGAUUUAAGGCAUGAUGGUGCGCACGGCAGUCCUCUGACAUCUUCAUUGCAUCUUUGACUUCAAGUCGGCACUGAGCUGAAGCAAGCCUUUCCACUUUAAGUUGACACUGAAGAAGUCAAACUGAUUGAGGCAGCGACUGCACAGAGGUUGUCUCACACCUGCUGGUGAGUAGCUUCAACUCACUGUCUUCACCAAGACAGGACCUUGGGGUCAUCUCGCUGUCCUCCAGAUGGUUUGGCUCACUAUCUUCCCUAAAGUUCUGCCUAGCGUAAGAGAUACGAGUCUGGAAGAGAAACAAGGAGACACGUAACAGGUUGCACAAUUAUAUAAGCAAAUAAAUGGAUCUGUUCUGCAUAAGGAACAUGUUUUUACAUCUACAAUUUGAAACUAGUAGUUGUUGCAAACAUCCAAUCAGAUGUAAACAGCAAAGCAAACAGCAGUGGAGGAAAUGAUGCCUAUCCAAAUCUAUACUAGAACAAAGUAUGAAGGCUUGAGAAGGAUGAACUUACAUUACAUGUUAACACGGGCUGGACAAAGCCCUUCUCCAUGUUGAUGGAAGGAUAAUUCAAUAAAUUCCCCAAAGAAAAUUCUUUAUAAGCGUUGCCAUUAUUCUACAUUUUGCAAAGAGUAAAUAUAGAUCAAAUAAUAUUGGAAGAAAUAGAGGAUAAUGAAGCUCAGGUGCAGACUGAUGAUACAUAAUCAAAUAGCAAUUAAUUAAGUACAGCAUUACAAGGCAAAAGGGAGAGAGGUACUGACAAGAGCAAUGCAGAGCACAUUAUUGUUUUGAGAUUGUAUGAUCCUUUGAGCAAGGAGAUUCAUCUGAAAUUAGUUUUCAUACGAGAGAGAAGGUAAGGCACAAGCAGAAAUUUAGGAGUUCAAAUUUUGAAUUGAUAUCAUAGACAGUACCUGACGCUGGGCUCCCAGCAGUUCUAAUAGGGGUUUGGCCACUGGAGUAGGGGUAAGGUGUGGUACAGUUGGGCCUGUGUUUUCUGUGGCUGCUGAUCUAUCUGAUUUAACAGGUAUCACUACCUUUUCCAAAUACCUAGUUUGUACUCCUUGAGGAUCUGCACUCACCCUCUUCCUUUUGGACAUCUAUUACGAAAGAACAACAUUUGACUGGAAAAACAUAGUGUGACGACACAUGGAAUAGGUACAGAAAAUGGAUAGGUAUGGCAUAUACUCAUAUAUGAUGCUUAAACUAAGCAGAUGGUGUAACAAAGUAGAAGUAACGCAAGAGGUCAGAUGCAAAAUAUGUGCGACCAAUACAACUUUGCAAAGUUAGAACAAGCACCUUGAUGGGUGAAUAAGAUAGGCCAUCCUCCACCAUGCCAAGUUUGUUAGCCAGUGGAUCGUUCCGCAAUAUUCCUCUCGUGCGCCCAUUCUCAUAUUCAUUUUGAUAAUGUUCAAUAUCUGACAUGCAUGAAAACAUAAAAACAAGUGAGAUUUUCUCUGUAUUGCAGAAGUGAUUCUAAUCCAAUACUGCCUCCCUGUAAACCCCUUUGUGCUAUCUCUGCAAUUCUUUUAAAAGAUGCCAUGCAUGCUGUAAUUUGUUGUGUGCAUUAAUAUAAUGUGGCCUACUACUCAAACUAUGAGAGCUCCAGAAGUGAUGACACUUCGCAGAUGAUAGCUUCAACAUAUAGUAAAGAAGAACAAGUCAACCUGACCUGACAGAUUCAAAAUAUACUAAGGGAGAACAACUCGACCUGACCAGUCGACCGCAAGAGAAGAGUAUCAUCUUAAAGAAGAGCAGAAGAGCAAGCAGAUUGUAGAUAUUACAAGUCUUUCAAUACAAUGUCGGUUGGCCACCCAUGAUGAACCAGAGCGCACAGAGAAAUAUUAUUCUUUCCGGUCUCUCAUAUGUGGCUCACAUGCAUUUCAAAACUAAAGUAGGAACAUUUAGCUAACCAAUUAAACAUCUCUCAGUUUUACUAAUAUCAGCAAUAAUAUCAGAUAUGAAUUUGUACAACUAAGCUUGUUUAGCUCGAUGGGUGGAGCAGUGCUAUUACGACACGAACCACGUAGGCUGAUUGUGGUCAUCAUAAAAUGGGGAAAACAUAAGAAUGAUGAGUACAGUGUUGACCGUGGCAGUGGGAUGGCAGCUCUAAAGCUGCAAACUGCGCAAAGGGUAGUUAGCAACUGAUGUUUGCUUUGAAAUAACAACUAAGAUUUGGUAUGGACAAGAAAGUACGGUCAACAAGUGACAAAGAAAUGCAAUUAUGCUGUCUCUCUAUAUGUCGCGACAUGCAUUUGGAAACUCAAGUGGGACCUUUAGCUAACCAAUUAAAUGUGUCGGUUAACUAAUAUCAGUAUCAUAUCACAAUCAUAUUUGAACAACUAACCUUUCGAAUUCUGAGUGUUGUGUUAUUUAGCUUGAAGGGUGGAGUAAUGCUAGUACGACAGAAAGCACCUACGCAGAUCAUAGUAGAGUAGAUAAACGGGAAAACCCUAAGCAUCAAGAGAAAAAUCGGGGAAGUGGAACUAUUAGGACUAGUGGGUGGCGCACAUGCUUUUCGAAACGAAUAUAGGAACAUUAGGUGACCAAUUAAACGUUCUCUGUUUUAGUGAUAUGAGCAUCAUAUCAGAUUCGUAUUUCAACACGUAAGCUUUGGGUUGAGGUCUUGAGGAGCAGUGCUAGCAUGAAACGAAGCACCUACGAUGAUGGUAGUGAAUAUAAAGGGGGAAACCAUAAGCUUUACGAGUAUAGUGCCCGUUCCAUGGCGGAUCUGAAGAUGCAAACCGGACAAAGCUACUUCGCAACCAAUGUUUGCUUUCAACUAGCAACUACAAUUUGGUACGGACAAGAAAAGUAUAGUAAACAAAUUACGAUCUAUUUUCCGGGUGAGAUCAAUAACUUAAGCACAUAUGGAAGAGUACCACCUCUCUUGCGACGCCGUGUAGGCCUAUGCUGAUACGUUGAGGGUGCUGCGGGUGCGAUGGCCGUCGGCGGUGGGGAAGAAGACUUUAGACGGCAGACGGCCAGGUCGGGGGAUAUAUCCUGUUGCCGUGGAUGAGGCGGUUGUAGGAGCGGCAACGGCAAGGUGGACGACGGCGCCGAUGAAGCGAGAGGAGGCGAUGAAAGGAUCCUGGUCCAGCGCCGUGGAUGAGAGACGUCCAUCUCUUGUAGUGGACGACGGGGUAGGGUAGCGGCUCCGGCAAGGUGGAGGAUGGGGUGGCGGACGGAGGAGGCUGGCCGCAGUGCGGAGGUUGUCGUGCCGCCGAUGGUGUAUGAAUGGGGAAAUGGAGGGGGGGAUCUCAAACUUUGGGACGCGCUUCUCUGAAAUGGGGAAAGUUACGAACUUAUCCCCCGUUUAAAAUUUCGGACAUCGUGUCGGUUGGGGAUAGGACGGUAAUCUCGCAUCUCCCAAAUAUUUGUCGGUAACUAUUUCGGGCGAGGAGAGGGUGUUUUGCCGCCCACGGUUGGCGCCCACGGUGUAUGAACGGGGCUGACAGGUAGGGCGGUUGUGUCACGUCUGAUGGAAGUUACACAUCUGCCCCUAUUUAAAAUAUUAGCCUACAUCGAUUUCGGACGAGGAGAGUUUGUUUUGCCGCCCACCUUGUAUGAAUGGGGAAAUGGAGGAAGAGAUACAUGUCUUUCGGACGAGCUUGAAUCAAAUGUGUUUUGCCACACACGUUUGGCGCCCACCGUGUCUGAAUGGGCUCAGAGGCCGUCAUGUCACGUCUGAUUGAAGUUACUAGUCUACCCCUAUCGAUAGCAGUGUAAAUCCGGUCGAUAAGGAUGUCAAGUGUCAGGGGUAGAUAGUAAUUUCCAUCUCGCAAACACUUGCUUCGGGCAGCCCACAAAUUAUAGUGGGUGUUUAGCCGCUUCGUUCAAAACUUGGGUGAAUUAGCAUUCACGUUUUCCCUGGGACCUGGCAAACUAAAUUCAAAUCCAAUUUGUAUUCGAUUACGAAUAUCCACAGAUAAUUAUACGUUUUGUUAUUUAUUUCUUCAAAACCACAACAAAGAUUUAUUCCACCUUUAUAUAUGAUUAUGAUUUAGAAAUGCCGUGAUCUUCGAAUUCAGUAGGUUGGAUACACUCUGAGUCAAACAGUUAUUUCAUCCAAUACAAUAUGCUCACACAAAAAACAGUUCACCUUAUGUCAAUCAUACAAGUACUGAGGAUUACCUCGCCUAAAAAAUUCGGAUCAUUACAACACAUGGACAACAUAGGGGGUCUUGCAACAUAAUCCAUUCAGAGACAUGACACAACAUGCAAGUACAAUAAUCUAAUGAGAAUUUCAACUGGUAUCUAAAGAAGAACCGGGAUUACCUUGGGUUUCAGAUAGCAGAAACAGCAGGACCUCCUCCGUCUUCAAAUGCAACAUUCAUACUUCCUCCAAUUCUUGGGUUGCUUGCAUAAUGCGUGCUGCUAAUUCCGUAAUUUCCAGCCUCAAGAUAAAAUUACCUCAUUCAUGGCAGCCACACCAUCUCUUUCUGCCUCUAGUAGAGCCUCAAGCACUAUAAUAUCUGUGCUCAGACUGCUCUCCGGCGGUGUUGCCUCUGAACUGCUACCAUCUGGUAACAUGGAUGGCGCACUGCUUCCACAAAUAGAUUCUGGGGUUGUACAUUGUAUCCUAGUGUGAACGGCAUCCUGGAAGGUUUCCGCUUGACAUCAUUAAGAGAUAGUUAUCGUAUGAUCCAGGCAUUAAGCUUACAUGGUAAACGACGGAUGAAUUAUUGCCGAGCAUGGCAAACUAUAUUUAAAUGGUUCGAAGCAGCAUCAGCCGAAAAGAAAUUAAAAUGGUAAGAUGAAACUAGGGAUGUAAGUGGCAAAUAAACGACAUCCGCCAGUCCCAUCUAGUUAGAUUUUGCUACCUCCCUAGUUCAUUUUCCUCAAAAAACAAAAACUCUUUUGAACUAUCAUACCACUAGUGGACUUUAAUCGGGAUUAAACGGGACCCAAUUGACAUCCCUAGUUGAAAGGGAGUGUACAACCUCUAUAUUUAAGUUGCCAAGGCAUCUAAGCAGUUGAAAUAAUCUGAGAAAGCACUUAACAGUGUGGCCUCAUAUAAACUACGAAGACAGUCUUGUGAUAAAGUUGAGAGGAAAAGUUAAGGACUCAAAUGAAAUAGGCAUGCAUUUCUUUACGAUAGUACAGUAGGCACUGCUGACAUAUUGCCAACUCAGGUAUAGCGUAACAACAAAUAAGCACUCGAAUCAAGCAAUACAGCAAAGCAGACAACUGAACUAUUUGUAAUUCGGUAGGAUUACACGUUGAGGGCACAAGCCAAGAAAGCAUCCCACUCGCAUUACAUUUCACAUGUACUAAAACACACUGGCUUACCAUAUGUUGCUGUGAAGCCUAGCUGCUGUUGCAAUGUUCUUUGAAGAUAUCGUCAGCAUCCCGUGGUUGCAAAUCUAGUUGUAGUUUAUUCUACACCAUCUAUUUAGGUAAAAUUAAUUUUAAUCGCAUGCACUGGUCCGAAUUGAUCAUCAAUGGUUCAUCUAAACUUAUGAAAGAAGGGUGUGUGCAUACACGACAAUAUAUCUGCUUCCCUCUAUUUUUAUGCUAGUUCGAGGUGCCAGCCCCAAAAGAACAAAUAUUUUGCUUGAUGGGGUUGGCAGCUCCAUAAUUAAUAGAAGCAUCAAAUUAGUCAUGCAACUUGGGAAGAUCAAGAACACACAAACAAGUAAUGAACAGAGGCUCGGAGCAGUGAUGUAAUAGCUAGCAUCAGAAAAUGUAGGGUAAACCAAACAAAAAGCAGCGGAACCACAUGCUUGUUUGCUGAUGUGUAAUUAAGCAUAGAGAACAUUAAGCAGUCUGAUGGAACCAACAGGUGGCAUCAGAACAAAACUAAAGCAUAUUAACUAUAUGUGCACUGGUAUGUAAUUUAGCACAUGUAACAUGUUCACUGCCAGAAGUAUGGCCCUACAGGUGCAAGCAGAAUAACGCGUCUCAUGAAAAACUGAAUGAUGCCCUGAAGAAAUUCAAAGGUGCGGUGCUUAUUCUAGGAAAGUGAACAUAGGCGCCGACCUGAUUCUCGGCGGCGUAUGGGUAUCAUUGUCAUACUUGAUAGCUAAGGAUCGUCGAUGGUGCUCGUGUUGCGGUUGAGUUUGGGCCGGCUGUCGCCGUCGCUGAAGCGGCUCUGGUGCUACGGUUGCGGCGCCUGUCGACAUACAAGAAAGCUCAUCUAUGGUAAGUGAACAGUUGCGCGAUAAAGAGAAAAACCGAAGGAGUACAAAUCGAAAUAACCUGAUGAGGCUGCGGCGUCGGUAAAGCAGGGCCGGUGGAGUUGAAUAUGGCGUCCGUGGAGUGGGUCCGGUGAAGUGGACGAAGGCUUCGGCGGGUGCACUGUAUAGUGCUUUCGGUGAGGCGGAUCUGUUGCAGCGGACGAGGGCUUGUAUGAAGGGCCAGCGAAGGGGCAGACGAGGGAGUCAGUGAAGGGCCUACGCUGUGGUGGACAAGGGCGUCGGUUAAGCAGAUCCAGUGCGGUGGACCAUGAUGGCGGUCAAGGAGAUCUGGAGCGGUGGACAAGCCAGUCGCUGAAGCGGCUCCGGUGAAGUGGUGAGUUGGCAGUUGGGGUUUCCAAGGUGCGGAAGGUAGAUCCGGCGGGGUGUGAGGUCCACCGCUGCGGCGGAGGACUAGAUUCGGCGGCUUGCCGUGGUUGGGGUCGGGGAGGGGAAGGGGAGGGGCUCUGGGGAAGAAUGUUGGGGGCAAAGAGGGGGAAACAAUGGAGUUACCAAAGCAGCCCUUUUCCGUUCAUGUGGCAGGGGUAAAACAGGAAUAUCACAGGGCCAAACUUUCGGGCGCGUGAUAUUUCAAUGUGAGCGAGAAGUUUGAAAGCUUUUGGCGCCUAAAAUUAUAAGUAUCCUGCUCUCGUACGGCCGACUAUGAUGUCAUGGCCGACAAUUUGUUUGUUUUGCACGCAAAAAAAAUGUGCAAGUUUUGAAAAUCAAUGUCUCCAACUCGAAACUUAGAUUGUCCAUUCAAUUCAAAUAUGGAUCAUUGAGCUACUACAAGCAAAUACCAUCAUACGGUCCAAUUCAAAUGAAAUUCCAAAUGUGUUUAUCCUAAAUAUGAUGACAAAAGCAAAAAUGUGUAUGUGUAUGAAUAAAGUGGAUGAUUAUAAAGUUUGAACAUGCCCGUAUGUCUAUAUCUCUAGGUUUGAUAUAUGAAUUUGAAGUCACGAAAUCCCGGCUUAAAAAUGUACCUCCGUUUAAAUGAAUUACAAAAGCUAAUGAUGGAGUCGAAUUCCAAAAUUCAAAUCUUAGGUUUGUAAUUCUGGUACAUCAAGGUAUAUCACGCAUGUUCAAAAGUAUCGUUAUCUCAUAGUACAAACUGUGAAACAAAUUGAUCAGCCAUGAGUGCACAGUAUCUCAAUUACGCUAAAGUCCUUGAAAUAUAGACACCUCACUCUUUAUCUGAAGUCAACCCCCCCCCCACCACCACACACACACACACACAUAGAGAAGUCGUUCUCUCCCCCAAACACCAACACACGAGCACAUUAACACCCCUCUCUCUUGUAAAGUCCGGACCCCAACAUUGGUCUCUAUCACUUUGUCUCUCGGAGUCUCGGGCAUGCACACAUCUCUUCCCUCACCUCUAGGUCUCCUACUAUCUCUCUUACCCAAGCACAUGCACUAUGUAGAGUGUAUAUUUCCCAUACACACAAAACGUCGCCCCCAAAUGUCUAUCUCCCUAGUUAUGUGGUUCUCGCGCACUCACCUCACACACCACCCCCACUGCAAACAAACACACUUUGUCUCCUUGUGCACCACUCUCCUCUUUCUAUCUCUCCCACAUGUGGACCCGCCCCAGCUCCUUCCUUGUAUACAUAUAUGUCGUGACUCUUUGCAUAGCUCCCUAAUGUAUAAUCGUUCUCGAUUUCGCACAUUGUUCUCUACACAUCUAUUCUAGAUCUCUCAUGAAGUCCCUAUCACACACACGAUGACUCGCUUCCCUUGCGUCUCCGUUCAUAGGCCAAUUUCGGACAACAUCAACAUUGUCUCCCUAUCUAUACGCCAUUUAUGGACACAAACGACCCCUCUUGCCCCCCCUCUUCUCUCUCUCUCUCUCUCCGUCGCUAGCUCUCUCUUUCUCUCCUCUCACACCCCUCUCCCACACACACACUCGAUGUCUCUUCCAGAUAGUCUGCUCCCCCCGCCCGCACCCGUGCUAUCUCGCUACUACACAUGUCACACCAUUCCCCCUUCCCUUAUACUAGGUUUACAUCAUCAGUGGUCUCUCUACUCCACAUACACUCUCUCCCUCUCACACACAAACGCGUGCACAAACACACACAAACACACACAAACACCGAUUUAUCUGGAUCCUCAUCUCUCCUCAUGUCCGCAUGUGUAUCUCACACACUCACUCUCUAAUUAUGUAUAUGUGUCUCCACGUUACACAACACAAAGCCCCAUGUACAUGUCUCUCUCUAUCCUCCACACACAUAGACACAAAGAAUCUGUUAUCAUUGCCUCAGUCUCAAACAUAUCACACACGCACACUGUCUCUCUCUCUCUCGCAAACACGCUUAACAAGGGUUUCCCCGUGAAUAACUUACCGUCUAUUCAUCAACAGACGUGGCAGUACGGCGAACACGAGACGUGAAAAAGAAUAAAUCUACAUGUGCUUAGACCACCUAGUAUGACUACUAGGACUAGAGCAAGCCAAAAAGCGCACCGCCGUCACCCCCUCCUUGUCGGCGACGGGAAAAUCUUUGUUUUACACAGUCGAGAAGUCAUUGUGCUAAGGCCCCAUAUGCCGAGGCGUUGAAUAGAAUGUAGAUGCUAGUUUACGGAAGCAAGUAUCGAUAAUACGUUUGUAUCUCCAUACUUAUAUUUCUUCUUUUAUAAAAAACCAAGUUGGUGAUGAUGGUACGUGUGCCAUCUUGCAAUAUAGACCGUCCGAUCUAUAUCUGACGGAUGGAAAUUAAACUAAAAGAUACCUGCACCCCUCUCCACAUUUGCAGACAAGGCCUUCCCUCGUUCAUCCUUAUCUCCAACAAACCUCAUUGUUGAGCAAUUAAGAAAGGAAGCCUCUGGAACAAACUGGCCUGGUGGCCGCUGCCGGCAUCGUCAAUCCCCAUGCCUCCGCUCAGUCCGACCACCAACCACCACCACACCCCACUCCUCUUCACCUUAUCUCAGAUUUCUCGAGAUAUCAUUAGUUUUUACACAUGGGAUUACUCCCGCAAGGGUCAAUCACAACAAGUGUUUUAUAAAAAAAUGCAUCUUGAUGUUCUGUGCAAUGCAAGGAUCUUGCUAGUACUCCUACACAAGACUAUGUUGGUGAUGCUGGUGUGUCUGCCAUCCGUCGUUUCUGACCAUUAGAUCUACAUCUAACGAUUUGAGGUAAGUUGUUGCCUUUUCUCACCAACAUCCCACUUGUCUACCAAUUUGCAGAAAAACCCAUAAUUAGUAUCUUAAAACCAACCACAUCCCUCCCUGGCCUCACCAGAACAGCCCAAGGAAUAUAUUCUAAUUGAAACAUAAUAUAUCUCUAGUGACAUAUGUAUAUCAAAAUUAGAGUGUUUUUUACCAAGUUUGUGAAUAAGUAUUAUUCUAAUUAUGAUUCGUUGCAACAGACAUGAACAUUGCUAGUAUUUCCAACCAUGCAUUUUUUUCCUAGUAUUCCAUAGUUUCGAGUUUUCCAUCAAGAUAUUAGUCACUCAUGGUUGAUAUUUACUUUCAAUCAUGUACACAUAUGCACUAUGUAACUAGCCUUGCUUAUUGGCUUCCAAAUCUUAACUUUCACUCCUACUUACAAUAUGUAGAGUAUUUAACAAAAAAUACCACUUUCAACCAGCCCUAGGAAGAAUCUAUUGUACAAAAAAUAGCAAAAACAUACCCAAAAUUUCUUAAUCCAUGCCAAAAACUACCUAGUAAUCCUAUCGAUUAGGUUCGUUUAAACCCAUUUAUGACAGGGUUGGCCCACACGUCCGUGCUGACGAGGCAGCUUAAACCAACACAUUUUGUUUGAUCGUUGACACGAGGGACCCACAUCUGACCUUCUAUCCUGUUAUUCCCCCUCAAAUCAUUAUUUUUCCUGAACAUUACUUGAAACAGUACUGAGGCGUGUUCGUCGGUGGCGCCGGUGAUGAGCGAGUUGGCCGCCGCUCCGUCGGACGGGCCGGACGCCGCGCUGGCCUCUGCACAGGUUGGUAGGCUGGCCCGAGCGUGACUCACGAGCGAGCAAGCCGCCGCGCUGGCCUUCGCUCGAGCCAGAUGGCUGGCCUUAGUGCGGCGCGCGCGAGCAAGCCGCCGCGCUGCCGUGCCAAUCUAGCUAGCAAACCUUGCACACAAGCAGCUGGACGGAGCUAUCUUGGCUAGCUAGCGGCCGCGAGCGCCGGACGGAGCUGGCAUCCGGCUGCCGCAACAUGGGCUCUGCACCACCGGCGGUUUUGACCUCGCCUUCUGCCGGCGGCGGUAGCUGCGUCCCAUGGCCGAGGAUGACUAGGUGGACGGGCCGGAGGUAGGAGGUCACUCGAGGAUUUUUGUUGGUAAGAGCAUGUACAAUGGUUGAUAAGGUAGUCUUAUCUUAAGUCUGCCACGUAUGCAAGUGGUAGUAGUUUCUUGGCAUUUUAGUGGUUUCUUGCAUUAUUAGAGCAAGUAUAAUAGAGCUGAGUCAGCGGGCUAUAAGAAAUAAACUAGUAUAUUUCUGCUUAGUUGGAGGAAAGAGAAGAGGAGAGAGAAGGUAAGCGGGCUCUUCGUGAAGAGCCAGCUCUAGCACGUGCUCCUAGGCACUUUGUGAGAAUGAGAAGUGGGCCACAUAAUAAAAAAGUAGUACACUCUUUUGAUCUAUUAUUGUACAUGUUUGCUAUAAGAUGGGAUGUAGAUCACAUGGCACUGGCUUAUAGCCAGCAGCUGGCUAUACUAUUAACCAUGCUCUUAGGGGUUUCUUGUAAGGAACAAUGUACGUAGUACUAGCGACAAAAGGCGAUUCUAGGUUGCGUUGUACUCCAACGAGUACUACUAGUGGUCGCGGGAGUGUAUACCUCGUUUUGUGGGUUCGAUCCCGGCCGAACGCACGACGGCCUUUUUUAAAAAAUAGUACUACUACACUUCACUGCGAGCCAAUAUUUUACACGGGUAGUUUGAGUUUUGAAGUCAAACGGGCGUGCGGCCCCACAAUCUGGGUGCACUGGACAGCCUAGCCACGUGAACGGGUUUUCCUUCCCAGCAUCCCGUGGCUCGCGUGCUCGCCCUAGCCGCACCUCGCUUGCAGCUUCCAGCUAGUAGCAUAUUUAAACUAGCGCCUCCCAAUUAAGCCCGAGGAGCCGGAAAAGCCUGGCGAGGCAUAUGGCUCUGUACGUCAAGUGCUCUACUACUACUCUGUAGCUUGUGGCGUUCCACGCAUGGACUUCACUCCAUUAUCGGCUCUACUAUAAAAGAAAUUCCUCUUGACGUGUGUUUUUGAAACGGAGGCAAAAGCUUUGCUGCAUCUCAUUAAUAAAGAAGGAACUACUAACAAAGUUCGACAAGAUCCAUUACACCUCCACAAAUGGAAGCGAAAAGCCUAGUCUCGCUGUAUCAAAUAACUCAAAUGUUCUGCCCCUGUAGUAACCGUCGCUGAUAAAUAGGCUGCUAGUGUGUGCGUGAGAGGAGCGGCUGAGUAGGCCAGCUACGUGAGAGGAGCGGCUGAAUAGAGCACCGAGAGUACCCACUAGGCCACUACGCAGGUGUACUUCCCCUGCAUUGAUAGUACAGCGAUGGUUCUAGAGAACAGUAGUACCCUCCACUUCCAACUGUAGCUCCUUGGCCCUAAGAUUCAAGAGUUCAAAACUGGUGCACUAUACUAGACUAGACUAGAAGUACAGUACAUGGCACUACUAGUUGAGAAAAGUAGUACUAGUAUUGCUACAGUACGAGUACGUACUCCUCCGUCACAUAAUGUAAGAUGUUUUUUUGAAACUAGUUGGCGUGUACAAAAAAUGGCAAAAACAUACCCAAAAUUUCUUAAUCCACGCCAAAAACUACUACCUAGUGCCAAAAAUUUCAUACUAGUGCUAUUAUUUACAGUAUAAUGCAAUCCCAUAACGUUCCAUAAUGCUAGUACUAGUAGUAAAUAAUAGCCUCACCCCUUCGCUGAGGAACGAUCUACAGUUGGAAGGGACGAGGCCCUGUGGUUACUACGCUCUUAUCUCCUCCUUGCCAGUUCCCCUCCCCCCGAAGAGAAGGCAGUUCGUCGCUGCUCCCAUGGAUUCGCCAGGCGGUUCUCCUCCUCGUCGGGGCUGGGAGACCUUGGAUGACGAUCCUCUGGGAGAAAUCGCACGCCGCUCCGACGUCCUCACCGCCGCAAGACUCGGUGCUUCCUGCACCAACUUUUUCAAGACGCUGCUUAAAUGGGCUUGGGAAAAGGCCAUGCUUGUUGGUCUUCCAUGCGUCCUCAAGGAUAAGGUUCUUCUAUGGGACAAUCCUUCCAACAGUCCACCGCUCCUUGGCCAUGGUUGCACGUUGACUCCACUAGAGUUGCCGACGUUGAGAGGUAGUCGGAUUUUGUCCGAUGAGCAUGUCAGUAAUGGAGUUUGAUCAUGUAGUACUUAGUUAUUCCAUUUCCAUCCGGUAAUUUCUCCGCUGCUCACCGUCUUAUAUAUAGGUCUGGGUCGGUGCCAACGAAGAUUGGCUUGCAUACCUCCGGCCGGAUACCACCAUCAUUUUGCACAACAUCCACAGCAGUGCGGCCGUUCCGGUAGACCCCUUCUCCACCAUUGGGAUCGGCCUUCCGGACUGGUUGGGCUUGAAUACGUAUGAUGAUGCCUACAUGAGAUUGAAGAAGAUAGCAAUUGCGGACCCUCCGACAAAGCGACGUGGCUACGACGAUUACUAUCUCAUCGCGGUGUUCGACAUAAGGAUUGCCAUCAAUGCAAGAGGCAGUAACGGCAGAGGCUGGCUCAUGUUGGCGCCGGCAGAUUUGUACCCCUACAUGUUCGAAGACGCCGUGCGCCAUCUAGGCCGCAUCUUCGCGGUGACAAGCCAGGGGACUUGUUUCAUCUGGUUGCCAUCCUACGGUACGGGAGAUUACAAACGGAAUGCACAAACCAUCAUUUGCAUCCCUAACGGUACUCCAUUAUUUUGCAGGGACCAGUCAUCCCCCGACCAAAAUAAGAUUGCCGAUCCUGGAUGUGCAUUUGCAUCCGCGAUUCGGUCUAACCUGGAACCUUGUAGCUGACUUUGGCAUAUUGGGAUCAGCUAUCUUAGCAGUCGUUACCCAUGGUACCACUGAUGUGCAACAUGGUCACACAAUCUACCAUGAUCGGACCGUCACCAUCUACCCAGGUAUUCCAUUUUUUAACCCUCUCGCCUUCUCUUUCAUUGUUGUACUAGUAGUAUACUUUGUAUUACUAGUAGGAGUACUUUUUACCUUGGAGGACGCGUAUAGCUAGCUAGGCCCUUGAAGACUUGAACCCACUAGCUGCCACCAUUUUUGUUUUUCCAUGUCUUACUAUCUCAUCCAUGUAGCCAAGAGUGGCUAUAUAUAAUAAGCCGGUUAUUUUACUUCCUCUAUACCGGAGUAGUACUAUUUGCUGCACAGUAUUACUGACCGCCAUAUUUGAGCACAACAUUAUUAUGCAUGGACCUUGACUAUGUACGUCACCAUGUGUCCAGAUCUAGGAUGUCGCGUGUACCAGAUGAACGGCGUCGAGUUCGACCCCCGUGAUGCUACGUGGGUGCCGAGGAACACUCUUGGAGAGUACUCGCUUUUCAUCGGGGACAGCUACCCCAUUGUGAAGCGGAUGCCACCUUCCGUGCACGACACGGAAGGCCUGCCGUUCAUGAAGCAUGGUUGUGUCUUCAGUGCGCACCGCCGGAUGAACGACAUGCUGGGACACGCUAUCCCUGAUUUAUGCCGCUUCAGCUUGGAUGAGUCUCCAUCGUGUGGAACCGGACUAGAAAGCUGCGACAAUGAUUCCCGUUGCCCACCGCUAUGGAUCGUGCCAUCCAUGAAGAACACCUGGGACUGGAACCUGGAGGAGGACAUGUAGCCCAUCUAUGACGUGUAAGUGGAGUACGGUAAUUGUGAACGGUAGCGCUGUGAAUAUAUGUAGACUUGUCGUGCACAAAUUUAUCACAUGAAUUGGAGAUGAACUUCUGUGGCAUACUGGCAUUUUUCCUUUAGAAUUUAUUACUAGUAAAUGUGUUAUGUGUACGUGCAACUUGUGUGGUUGUUGCACAGGCUCCAACACGCUCUUUGAGAAAAAAGGUGGCACAGCUUUGGAUAUACGUGACGUGGCAGCGUCAUACAGUAGCAUCGUUCGCUAUAGUUGUAGUACACUCCUACUAGGACGACAACUCCUAUAAAACCUUGCGCUUGGCUCUUUGCCUCUUCAGGAGGUUCAACAGUUCGUACUCGUGUGAACCUUGCACUUGGCUCUUCGCCUCUUCGGAAGGUACAACAAUGAUGAUACUACAGUACAAUAUGCUUCUGGCAAUCUGACACCGAUUGAACUGCUGCACGUCCACCGCGAGGGCGAGGGAGAGGGAGAGGGAGAGGGCGCUGUAGUCAAAACCCUCUCCUCGUCCUGCGAACCAGCGCGCGCGUGGGCGAGGGAGAGGUGUAGUAAGCAAGCUUCUCCUCGUUCGGUGAGUUGACGGGACACAUCAAAGCAGUACUAGUACUAGUAGUAGUAGUCCAUACUGCGUCCUUUUCGAUUAAUAUGGCUUAAUUUGAAACGAGAAAAAUACACUGGCGGUCAACGUAUGUAACAAUACGCUCUUUACGGUCACUAUAUAUAGUUUUGCGGCGAUUAUACGAUCACUAGCUCAUCGUAGAGCACCGUAUUGCACCCUACUGACCGGCCACAUAGUCGACGUGGCACUUUGUUGACUGGUUAAAUUGUCACCUGGUUUCUGGGUCCCACCUGUCAGUUGGCAGAGCAAAGAAAUCAGUUAAAGAAAACUUUAAACAGGCGCGACACGAGUCCAACCCUUGCGCGCGAACCGCCCUGGUUGUGUAUGUGAGUGCAUGCACGUGUCCUCCCUCGGUCUUCCAACAAAGAGUGUACAUCGGCUAUAAAACAAAGAGUGUAGUACAUGAUGUACAUCUACACUUACAAUGCAUUUAGCCUUUAAUCUAAAUCGAUAUUGAUUGACUAAUGCACCAACUUGUGCUGUAGGUAUAGGCUACAUGUGUAUCCUUAAUUACAGCAUGCAAUGGCCUUCAUUUAAUCUUCUUAUCUCAAUGGUCGCAUGCACACAUAAGUCUGCUACUUUUGGGCGUUAAUUAUGCCCUGGUCAAUGUGUAAAUCUCUAAAUGUACAGUCUUUCACGGACAUAGGGAGUAGGUUGAGCACUUGAGCGUGAGCGUGUGUGUUGCGUCGUGUGCUGUGUGCCGCAUGGGUGCGUGAGUGUUGCGUGCGUCCAUGUGUACGUGUGAGUGUUGCAUGUUGCAUGCAUGCAUGCAUGCAUGAGGCUUACACCCUCCCAUUGACAUGUUCAUAUUUCAAGCUUCCUCUGUUCCCUCCAUAUGGUGAUACUCCCUCUGUUCCCAAAUAGUACGGAGUAAGCCUCCCUCUGUUCCCAAAUACGCAGUAUUUGUCUUUCUACAGAUUUCAACAAGUGACUUGGUAUGGAGCAAAAUGAGUGAAGUGAGCGUAGAGGCAUAGGGAUACAGUAGAAAGGAAGUCCUCGCGAUCCAUUAUUCCCCAUCUCGGUCAGAGAGAACUAUUCAACUAGUCUUCGUAGUGAAGUGACAAUACACGCUGCAGCAGAUGGGACACAUAAUUAAUAAGCUGAACCAGCGUGUUGGUGUUACUAAAUCAGCCUUACCCAGUACUGCCAUCAUGUUUGCCAGUAGAGCACGCUUCCGCAAAUACGCCUACGCACCUCUGUCCUCCAUUAACUGACAUAUGGGCCCUGUUGUGGUAGACCCACAUGUCAUCGGUGUAACUAUUUACACUCCGAAGGACGGCAUAUCCUGGUAGAAGUACUAGUAGAAUUGAGAUUGAAUGUACUUUCUUCCCCGUCUUCCACUCUUCUUCCUCCUCUCUUCUUCUUCCUCCUCUCUUCCCCAUCGUCGGCCGCACACCAUUUACCCCCGCUCACUGCUCGCCCGCCCGCGCCAUCUUCCUUGGUAGCUCGCGCGUACCAUAUCCCCCCGCUCACUGCUCGGCCACACGAGGAGAAGCUUCUUCGCUCGCCCGCCCGAAUCCACUUCCCCGCUGGCUCGCAGGCAUCGAAAACCCCAAUGGCAGAACCGACUGACACGCAGAGCCGCGAUUGGAAUUCCCUCCCCGAUGUUCUCUUGGAGCAGAUCUGUAGUCGUAUGGACCUACUCAGCACCGUCCGUCUGGCCGCAUGCUCGGUGUCUUUGUACCGUCUACUCGUCUGCAACCGGCCGGCUCUUUUCAAGACACCCUUCUUGCUGAUGCCCGAUCCUCGCAGGUGGCCCAGAGACCGACUUGACGAUCCUAUGGAGGUUGCCGUGGUGCCCCUCGACAUGCUACCACUACUCGUCCACCUGUCCUUCAGGCGCGGCCACUACUGGGCGGGCAUGAAGGCCAACUGGAUCGUCCUCAUCCACCACAUGGUAGUUCGUGGCAUCUCGUGGAUAUCUACACCCAGCGAGAGAUCACCCUUCCAUCGUUGGAUACCGCCGCCAUCGAGCCUUGCGGCCCGCCGGACACUCCUGCCUACUACGCACGAGACGCGUCAAGCCUUUGGCUCGACCUCUAUUUGCAGAAAGUUGUAAUCUGCGAAGUGCCCACACCAUCAGAAGACUACAUGGAUUACAAGCUCAUUGCCUUGUUCAACAUGGGAUUAGUCUAUCUGGAAUCCGGUCGCCAUACAUGGUUAUGGCUCAUCAUCAAUCCUAUUGAGGCAACAUUUCUGUCUGAUGCUAUAGUGCACGAUGGCAUCAUUUGCGCGGUCGACGCACAGAUUGGCUGCCUAUACUGGUGGAAUUUAUCGUCGUGUAAUUGUUCUAUCUCAUCUCAUCUUUACCUUAUGAAUACGACUGCCUGUUCAUUUGUUACAAAUUUAGAAUGCAUAGCAUGUCUAUAACCACAUCAUUGCUAUAUGUUCCUCUCAUUUCCUAGAUUUUUAUGACCACACAUGUUAUUGUUAGAGUUGAUAUGAGAACAAUUGGCAUCUAAUGAUUGUUAGAAUACAUAUUAUGAGCAUAACAUCAUGAUUGCUAUAUGUUACUCUCGUUUACAAGAUUUUUAUAACAACGCAUGUUAUUGCUUAGAGUUGAUAUGAGAACAGUAGUAGUAAGUGCUAUGGUAGAAUAUGAGUAGGCACUGUCAUAGCUGUUUUCCUCUCAUUGUUACAUGAUGUUUGAACCAAAAAAUAUUGCUAGAAUAUGAAAGCCAUUGGCUUAUUUUUUUAACUUGGGGUAUGAUUAUGACCACGGCAUUGCAAUUCUCUGUCUAUGAUAUGUGUCACUGUGAUAAUAAUCUUAAUUCUGCACAUACUCUGAACAUGAUUGUUUAUUUUUGUCCUUUUGGUCUCCAAUUUGAAUUGUUGCAGCAGACGCAAAUGCGCUGGCCUUCAUGAUUCUAGGACCUGGAAUCAUACCAGCCGAUGGGUGGUGGUUUAUCGCUCGUUCAGCUGACGGCGGUCAUUUGAUGCUCAUUCGCACGUACCAAAUUGACCAAACCAUUACAUCAAACCACAUGCAGUACAAUGCGUGGGGCAUUCGUGACAUUGAUGGCUAUGGCUGCUUUGUGUUCGAGAAAGAUCCCAGCUCCGUUUGGCCAGGCGUAUUCAACUGGAGGCGGGUUUACAGCCUCCGCAACCACUUCUUGUUCCUCGGGCUCAAUUAUCCGAUCAUCCAACCAAUCACCGAUCAUAUCACCGGCGAUGAUUACUGUGCUAUGCAACUUCCAUUCGCGACGGGGGCUGUGUUUACACAUCAUACCAUGGGUUUCAUGAAUCACCAUAUCCAGAGAUUCGUCGACACAGCUUGUUGCCAGAUAAUCUUCAGUGUGUGAAAGGCAUCAAGCUUCCAUGCGAUGGAUGGCUUUUGCAAACCCAUAAUGCGGCGAUGUGGUUCAUGCCAACAAGAAAUAUGCACAACUUGAGUCAUGUUGAUAUCUAGACUGAGCUAUGUAUUCUGCUGCUGUAGCACGACCCUCUUUUGUUGGAUAUUAUGUAUUGUUGUUAGUUUGAAGCACUCCUCUGGUUUGAAGGAUAGAUACCUUCCUGGGAUCUCUAAAAUAAGACAAAAUUUACGAAACGUAAAAUUACGGUGCAUAGAUGUUAAAAUAGAGGUGGGUGAAGAAUAAUUAUUCCUCACCCAGGGUGACGAAUAGUCAAUCCCUAUAUAUAUAUGUAUCAGUUAGGCUUCAAGUGCCUACUUGUUAGUUAAACCUAUGUAUAAAUUGUGACACUAAAUACGACUAAUAAGUAGUACAAUAGCAGUACUAGUAUACGUCGGUCAAAUUAUUCAUCAUGUCCACACAUUGAAUUGACGUGACAACACGCUGCGCGUGAGGUGACACAAGAAUCCCGGCGGCGUGUUCGGGUAUUCUGGACUUCAGAUUUGGAGUACCACUUAUCUGUCGAAAUCUUUCAUCAUUCACUUAAAAUAGUUGAUUGAUCAUACAUUGAGUACCAUAUAACUGGAAUUACCGAUGCAAGUCGAAGAAGGAUUGGCCGGUGCUGCCGACUGGCGUCAAGUUCGAUCCCACGGAUCAGGAGCUGAUCGAGCACCUUGAGGCCAAAGUGAGUGCUGACAGCGCGAGAUUUCAGUCUCUCAUCGAUUUGUUCAUACCAACCAUCGACAGCGAGCACGGCAUAUGCUACACCCAACCUAAGAAACUUCCAGGUAAGACAUCGAUCGGCCGUCUACUUGCACAAACAUAUUCCUUUGUUUAUAGCUCUAUUUUUCUUUUUAGACGCAGACCUGGUGAUGCAAUUACAAUUUGACAGUUAAUAAAAAGUGAAACAAGUGACUGCAACAUGCCAAAGAUGUUAUGAAAAUGCCAACUAGGUACACUAAAACCUGUAUUCCACAAUACUGCAGGUAUCACACUGAGUGGCCUAAGGAAGCAUUUCUUCCAGCGCAAUUCCAGGGCGUUCAAAAGGGGCACGCGGAUGCGUCGCAAGAUACAGUCGGAGUGAAGCAUGCACGCGAUGUGGCACAAGACCAGCAAUACCUUGCCCGUGAUGGUCAACGGCCGGCAGACGGGCAGCAAAAAAGGUUCUGGUGCUGCACACCAACAAGAACUUCGACCAGCAGAGGAGCAACUGGGUGAUGCACCAGUACCACCUCGGGGACCUGGAGCAAGAGAAGGAGCGGGAGCUGGUCCUCUGCAAGAUUUUCUGCCAAACAAACACUAGGGCCAGGAGUAAAAAGAUUAUAAGUUAGUUUGGUAUUGGUAGUUGUACUACCUUGUCGUCCGCAAGUUGGUAUUGUUGUUAACGAUCUUUUGGUAUGAACUUGCAUUUGCUACCAACCAUCAUGCCGAGGGUCGACGUGGAUAUAAAGCUGAAUCAUUUGUUUCGAAAUGAAUUUUCAGGCACCUGAUUUUUAUUUGAUGGGAAGCAUAAGCACCCGCCGUUCGAAUUCCCAGUUCUCCAAUUUUUUCGAAACAAGUGCAUGCAGUCGGAGUAAAUGGCCACGGGUAGGCUAACCGACUGCCCCUGGUUCUUCUGAAAAAAUUAUCAGGCCUUCGGGCCUCCAAGCACUCCAAGCAUUGGGCCGCCUUCCCUGGCCGGCUACCUCUGAAGCCGACUCCCGGAAGGCGACCCAGCCUCAGCAACCCCUCCCCAGGACGACUACGGGGUGGCCGACUCCAAGAAGCCGGCCAAGAGGGACGGCGACUCCAAGAAGCCGUCCAAGACCACAACCACCAAAGCUACCCCCACAUAACGGCGACAAGACGGGGUGUGGCCACAGUGCGGCCCACUACCCCCGAAGCCCGAGGCGGGCAUGGCUACAGGAGGCCGUACGGGACGGCCGUCUCCUGUGCGGCUCGGCACUGUAGCCAUGCUAGCCUCAACGUCAUCCACGACAGACUCCCGUACGGCCCAUGGGCGGCGGGCCCCUUCAGCCAGAGAGAGGCGUGAAGGCGGCCUGGCCUUUCCCAGUUGGCCAAGGGCGUAGCCGGCCCCCGGAAGCCGGCUACUCCCUUCCUCGAAGCAGGAGCCCCAUUAAGGAGACAAGACGAGGUAAGGCUACAGUGAGAGCCCCCGAGGCGGCCCACUGUAGCCACGCUUACCUCGACAAAGCCCUCGUCAUCAGAGGCGAGGCUACAGUAAGCAGCCGCCAACAAGACCCUAGGCGGUGGGGCCGGCCUGUUGACCGAGAGGCCGGCAGCCGGCGAGACCCACCAGUCGGCAGGCCCCAACGGCCGGCGGAGAAGCCGGCGAGCGUAGACACUGACGGCUGGGACCAGUGCCCAGCCGGAUUACCAUUGUACCCCCGAGGGGUAGGCCUAUAUAAACCCCCCGGAGCACCCAUGCAAAGGGUUGGCUUCUAAGCAUAGCACACACACACCAUAGAUUGAGAGAAGCAAGAGCUAGCCUUGUUCUUCUUCUCCCCUGAUCCCAACGGCUCUAGGAGCGAUUGUAGCUACCCAUUCUCGAUCUAGUGAUCAUGCGGAGACCCCGCAGAGCAGGACUAGGGGUGUUAUCUCCUCGGAGAGCCCCGAACCUGGGUAAGAUCCGCCGGCGUGCAUGUCUUCGCCUCAUCCCGUUUCCAGGCACCGGCGAUGUCUUAUUGGCACCCACAAUGAUAAGCCAUCCGUUCACAUAUGUCGCACCAACCACCCGACAUUUGGCGCCCACCGUGGGGCCAGGUGCACCAUCGUCCGGAGACCUGUUCUGGAUGGGAAACCUCUUCCUCCCCCGCGAGCGCAGCCAGCCGGCUACGCCCGAUGGCGCCUGCCUCGACGCGCUGCAAGGCGUAGACGACGCCUCCGCAGCGAGCCGCCUCGCCGAUCUGCUCGGCGAGACUCGCAUCUCCGACGAGCCUGCGUCCGACGCAGGCACCGACUACCCCGAGAACCGCCUCGUCAACCUCCUCGACCAGCUUCACGUCUCCAGCGAGCCUGCUGCAGACAUGGAGUCGGUCGGCUCCACCGACCCGAUGCUCAUCGACUCCGACACAACAUCGCUUGACGCCUACCCCUCCGACGUGGUGGUCUUCGACGACCUCCUCCCUCGAGCUGACAGCGGCAGCAGCGCUGUCACCGAAGUGCUGGUCAUCAGCCACGUCGCCAACUCGGGCGAGAAUGCCCACGACGCCUUGCAAGCAGCAAUGCACGACCUCUCCGUCCCCAUCCCGGCCGACGCCGACGCCGAGACCCUGGAGGCACGCCGCCUUGCCCUCAUCGCGGAGGGCCAGAAGAUAGCCUCCAUGAGACGCCUCACCGAGGCCCACCAGCGCGAAGUCGACCGCGCCGCCUUCGGUACGCCGCCGCCUAGCGGCCCGAGCCGAGCCGGCUUCGUCCAGAAGCGCGGCGCGGCCGUCGCCAGCAUGCUGGGCGCAGAUCGCCCGUCUACGCCACCCCGUUCGAGAAUCUGCGAGCCGCUCAGGCAGCCGCAGAAGAGCUCAAUGGGCUGGGAGCCGAUGAGCUCCCCUACAUGACAAGACGGAUCCAGCAGCUGCUCGACGCGGCUGCAGAACGGCACGAAGCCGGCGCUCGUGCUGAUAGUCAUCCCCCGCGCCGGGAGCACGCCGCGACGUCUCGCUCGCCGACUGCGAGCGGCGCGCGCCAGAAGAAAGACAAGGAGCCGGCUACCAGCCGCAGCCGGACUCGCGUUACCAUCGAGCGCGACGCGGAAGGCCGCCCUUGAGCGGUUGAACACCAAGGAAAUAUGCCUCCUCCCCCGCCUCGAAGAGAAAGACGCCUCACUCCGCCGCCUAUCACGCACCCGACUCUUGGCGACCGACUCGGCCGCCGAGAAGGAGUCGGCGAGAACGACGCCCGCCACAGGAUCGACCGCCUUGCUCGAUCCUUGGCGUUAGAAGAAGAAGACGAUGUCGGCCCGCCAUGCUUUGGCCCCCGCAUCCGCGACGCCCUUCCCCAAAGGGUUCUCGCUCCCCAGAGACACGCCCAAGUACAACGGCUUGGUGAAGCCGGAAGAUUGGCUCAUCGACUACUCCACGGCCGUCAGCAUAGCCAACGGCAAUCGGCGCGUCGCCGUGAAGUACGUCCCCCUCAUGCUGCAAGGCACGGCGCGCACAUGGCUCAACAGCCUCAAGCCCUACAGCAUCAACAGCUGGCUGGACUUCACCGAAGUCUUCGUCCGCAACUUCACCAGAACCUACAAGCGGCCACCCAAGCCUCGCCAGCUCUCCCUCUGCGUCCAAGGGCCCAACGAGUCGACCAGCGACUACCUCACGCGAUGGGCCGAGCUCCGCAACUCCUGCGAGGGGGUGCACGAGGUCCAGGCCAUCGAGUACUUCACCGCCGGGUGCCGAGAGGGCACCCUCCUCAAGCACCGACUCCUCUGCGAUGAGCCGGCUACCCUCGAUGAGUUGCUGGUCAUCGCGGACAAGUACGCCACGGCCGACUCCUCGAUGAAGACCGAGCUGAGAGUUGACGCCUCUGGGAAGGUGAUUGCUCCGGCUCCCAAGACGCCGGCUGGCGACCCUAAUCGGCGCCCCUACCAGAACGACCACAAGCGCAAAGCCCCCAUGUCGACUUCCUCCAGUCGGCAGGUGGCCACAGUUGAAGAUGAGUAGCCCGAAGAACGGCCCGCUCCCAAGAAGAAGGGUGGAAGGCCGGCUUGGCAGCCGUCUUUCUCCUACGAACAAGCUCUCGACGCCCCCUGCAAGUUCCACAGCGGCGUGAAGCCGUCCAACCACACAACCCGGAAAUGCCACUGGCUCACCCGCAUCACCAAGGGCGAGGGAAUGAUGCCGCCUCCGCCUCCCGGCCUGCCGCCUCCAGCCCCCCAGCAGCCGGCGGCUCGGUCGGCAGUCGGCGCCAUCCAAGACGAAUUCCCCGAAGAGCACGCCGCCUACGUCGUCUUCACCAGUCAAGCCGACGACAAACGCAGCCGACGCCGACAGCACCAAGAGGUGAAUGCAGUCGCCACCAGCGCCCCCGAGUUCAUGCACUGGUCAGAAAAGCCAAUCAGCUGGAGCCAGGCCGACCACCCAGAGGUGAUGCCUUCGCCUGGCUCCUAUGCAAUGGUCUUGGACGUCACCCUCGCGACGGAGAGGCGAGCUGCCAGAUUUUCCCGCGUCCUGAUAGACGGCGGAAGCAGUAUCAACAUACUGUACCGCGAUACCAUGGAGAAGCUGAACAUCAAAGCAAAGCAGCUCAUGCCGAGCCGCAGCGUGUUCCAUGGUAUCGUCCCCGGCCUGUCUUGCUCCCCAAUCGGCAAGAUCAAAAUGGAUGUUCUCUUCGGAGACAAGGAUCAUUUUCGCCGAGAAGCAAUAUGGUUCGAGGUAGUGGAUUUGGAGAGCUCCUAUCAUGCACUGCUUGGCCGACCUGCCCUGGCCAAGUUCAUGGCUGUGCCCCACUAUGCCUACCUGAAGAUGAAGAUGCCGAGCUCGAAGGGGAUCAUCACGGUAGCCGGCGACUACAAGAAGUCCAUCGAGUGCGCCAUGGCCAGUAGCCGGCUGGCCGAGUCCCUCGUGGUGGCAGAAGAGAAGAAGAUGUUGGAACGGGUUGUGGCCAUGGUCGGCAAGCAGCCGGCCUUGUCCCCCAACCCCAAGGAUUGUGAUGCGCAGGGCUCCUUCCAGCCUGCCAAAGAGACGAAGAAGAUACCUCUGGACCCGGAGAACCCGGAGAGGUUCGCUGUCAUUGGGGCGAACUUGGACAGUAAAUAGGAAGGCGAGCUCGUCGACUUCCUCCGUGAGAAUCGAGACAUCUUUGCAUGGUCCCCAAAGGACAUGCCGGGUGUCCCGAAGGAUUUCGCUGAGCACAAAUUACAUGUCCGAGCUGAUGCGAAGCCGGUCAAGCAACCCCUCCGCCGACUGUCAGAAGAGAAGCGAAGAAUUGUGGGAGAAGAGAUAGCCCGGCUCCUUGCCGCUGGCUUUAUCAUGGAAGUGUUCUUUCCAGAGUGGCUUGCCAACCCAGUUCUGGUUCUGAAGAAGAAUAACAAGUGGCGUAUGUGUAUAGACUACACCAGUCUGAACAAGGCCUGCCCAAAGGAUCUGUUCGCUCUGCCACGGAUUGACCAAGUGAUAGACUCCACAGCCGGAUGCGAGCUGUUAAGUUUUUUGGAUGCGUACUCAGGGUACCAUCAGAUCAAGUUGGACCCAGCUGACCGCCUGAAGACUGCCUUCAUCACACCCUUUGGAGCUUUCUGCUACCUGACUAUGACAUUCGGCUUGAGAAAUGCCGGUGCCACUUUUCAGCGUUGCAUGCAGAAAUGUCUCUUGAAACAACUCGGCAGAAAUGCCCACGUCUACGUAGACGACAUUGUGGUGAAGACAGAGAAGCGCGGUACCUUGCUGGAAGACCUGACAGAAACAUUCGCCAACUUGCGUCGAUUCCAGAUCAAGCUCAACCCCGAGAAGUGCGUCUUCGGAGUGCCAGUCGGCCAGCUGCUAGGCUUCCUGGUCUCUGAACGCGGCAUUGAGUGCAACCCCGUCAAGAUCAAGGCCAUCGAAAGGAUGGAGAUUCCCACCAAACUGCGAGAUGUGCAGAAGUUCACUGGCUGCUUAGCCUCCCUGAAUCGUUUUAUCAGCCGACUAGGAGAAAAGGCUCUCCCCUUGUACCGACUCAUGAAGAAGUCCACUCACUUCAAGUGGAACGAUCAAGCCGACCAAGCCUUCCAUGAGUUGAAGAAAAUGCUAACCACUCCGCCUGUCCUGGCUGCGCCGACUGAGAAGGAGCCCAUGCUCCUCUACAUCGCCGCGACUAGCCGAGUCGUCAGCACUGUUGUUGUGGUCCAGCGCCCGGAGGAAGGCCGAGCCCAGCUAGUCCAGAGGCCGGUGUACUAUCUCAGCGAAGUGCUGUCCAGCUCAAAGCAAAACUACCCACACUACCAGAAGAUGUGCUAUGGGGUGCACUUCGCUGCCAAGAAACUGAAGCCCUACUUCCAAGAGCAUCCCAUCACGGUCGUGUGCACUGCCCCGCUUGCCGAGAUCAUAGGCAGCCAGGAUGCAUCCGGCCGGGUGGCCAAAUGGGCCAUUGCAUUGGCGCCCUAUACGAUCUUCUACCAACCCCGCACUCCCAUCAAGUCGCAAGCAUUAGCCGACUUCCUCGUCGACUGGGCCAAGACCCAGUACCUACCGCCGGCUCCCGACUCUACCCAUUGGCGGAUGCACUUUGACGGGUCCAAGAUGCGCACUGGCUUGGGAGCCGGCAUCGUCCUCACCUCUCCCAAAGGCGACAAGCUCAAGUACACGCUGCAGAUCUACUUCGCCGCCUCCAACAACGUGGCCGAGUACGAGGCGCUUGUACACGGGCUCCGGCUAGCCAAAGAGCUUGGCAUACGCCGGAUCCUGUGCUACGGCGACUCAGACUUGGUAGUCCAGCAAUCGUCUGGCGACUGGGACGCCAAGGACGCGAACAUGGCGAGUUAUCGAUUCCUCGUCCAGCAGAUCAGCGGAUACUUCGAGGGGUGCGAGUUCCUCCACGUGCCAAGGGCCGACAACGACCAAGCAGAUGCCCUAGCACAGAUCGGCUCCACCCGACAAGCCAUACCGACUGGCGUCUCCCUCCAGCGCCUCCUCAAGCCGUCCGUCAAGCCGUCUCCAGAGUCGGAUUCCAUUUUCGUACCGCCUGCACCAGAUACAGCCGGAUCCGACUGGAGAAACCCCGCAGGCGGCACGGGGACUUCGACAACCGGCUCAGGGACUGCCGUAGUAGCACCCGGCCCGGGGACUUCAGAACCCGGCCCGGGGACCGCAGCAGUCGGCCCGGGGACUACAACGACACAAGAAGCAGUGGCCGACUCACCCAACCCACCCACCCGAGUCAUGGUGGCUACAUUAACAGAAGAAGAAUUCACAGCUCCCUCAUGGGCCCAGCCCAUCCUCAAGUUCCUAGUCAGCAGAGAGCUGCCGGCUGAUGAGAUCUCAGCAAGACUAGUGCAACGACGAGCCGCAGCAUAUACAAUAAUCAACAGAGAGCUUGUGAAGCGCAGCGUCACUGGAGUCUUCCAGCGUUGUGUCGAGCCAGAAAAAGGAGUGGCAAUCCUCAAAGACAUCCACCAAGGCGAAUGCGGCCACCACGCAGCCUCAAGAUCCCUUGUGGCCAAGGCUUUCCGCCAUGGUUUCUUCUGGCCGACUGCCUUGGAGGAUGCUAAAGAAAUAGUCAAGAGCUGCAAAGGAUGCCAAGUUUUUAGUUCCAAGCAACAUCUGCCGGCUUCUGCAGUCAAGACCAUUCCCCUCACCUGGCCUUUUGCCGUCUGGGGACUGGACAUGGUGGGCCCCUUCAAGACAGCCCGCGGCGGCCUGACACAUCUACUUGUUGUUGUGGACAAGUUCACAAAGUGGAUUGAAGCAAAGCCAAUCAAGAAGCUCAAUGGGCCGACUGCCGUAACAUUCAUCACCGACAUCACUACUCGGUAUGGCGUGCCGCACAGCAUCAUCACCGACAACGGCACGAACUUCGCCAAAGGAGCACUGGCACGUUUCUGCGCGACGCAGGGCAUCCGACUGGACUUAGCGUCCGUUGCGCACCCGCAGUCAAACGGCCAGGUCGAGCGAGCAAACGGACUCAUCCUCUCCGGCAUCAAGCCCCGACUGGUUGUACCACUGGAGCAAUCGGCCGGCUGCUGGCUCGAAGAGCUGCCGGCUGUCCUCUGGAGCCUGCGCACUACACCCAACAAAUCAACCGGCUUCACUCCAUUUUUCCUCGUGUACGGUGCCGAGGCUGUCAUCCCAACAGACAUCGAGUUCGACUCGCCUCGAAUCACCAUGUACACGGAGGAGGAGGCCAAGGAAGCAAGAGAAGACGGCGUGGACCUACUGGAAGAAGGCCGGCUGCUAGCACUCAGCCGGUCCGCCAUCUACCAGCAAGGGCUGCGCCGCUACUACAACCGUAAGGUCAAGCCAAGAUCCUUCCAAGAGGGCGACCUUGUGCUCCGGCUGAUCCAGCGAACAGCCGGCCAGCACAAGCUCUCGGCCCCUUGGGAAGGCCCCUUCGUCGUCAGCAAGGCACUCGGCAACGACUCCUACUACUUGAUCGAUGCGCAAAAACCAAGAGCACGCAAGAGAGACGAUUCCGGCAAGGAGUCGGAGCGACCAUGGAACGCAAACCUCCUGAGAAGAUUUUACAGUUGAAAGCAGUAUGUAUCAUGCUACCCUUUUGUAUUAAGCACGAACCAACAGACCCCCCGAACAGUACUCGGGGACUGCCUUUUUAUUAUCUAUGAAUGACGAAUGUCAUAUCCAUGAAUGUAUUAUUACAUUUUGAAUUCUUGUCCGGCACCGGGUUCGACCAGUCGGCCCGGGGACUGGCCGCCUUGAGCUAUAUUGAAAGUUCUUCCCGAAGUCAGAAAGUAGUGCGCCGGCUCCCAAGUCCUCUCUUGUUGAAAGUCGCAGCUCAAAGAACUGACUGUCCGACUAGCAAGAGGGAAGACAGAAAGGAUGCCCACACGAAAAAUAGCUAAGGAACAAUGAACCUAUAUAGCAAAAAGACGGCCUCCAAACAUGCCUGCCGGCUGUCAAAACAACUGGCUGGCCGGCUUCCUAAACACUUAGCUUCAGUCCAGCAAAGCUAGAGUACUUCCCCCCCCCCCAAUUGGCCAAGCACUCCUCCAGCUACAGAUUGCAGAGCAACUGUUGGACUGGGGAGGCGGCAACCAAGGGAGGGCGGCAAUGGAAAAAGCAGAAGGACAAAAAGCAAAAGUACAAGGAAAGGCCAAAUGCAUAAGUUAUAUAUACAUAAAGCCCCCAACAGGCUGGCAACAGACAUAAGUUCGAAUACACCCAGUGGGUGGAAUUGUGCAGACUUAACCAAACAUUGUUCCUAAAGUAACUAGACUGGGAAACAAAAGACGGCAGACUAAGGCGCGCUGCGGAGGCCGAGCUGGUCGGUGAAGGCGGCCUCGCCGGCUGAAGGAGUGGCCGACUAGCGGGUCCCGGCUUGACCACCACCAGCGGCAGGAGACGCACUCGCACGCGACGUAGUGCUGGAGGUGCGGUCAGGCUGAGGCUGGCCGGCUGCUCCACCAGCCGGCUCGGCGUCUUCACCCUCCUCCUCCUCUUCUUCACCCUCGUCGCUGGAGUCGAUCUCCUCCAUCGAUUCUUCGCCAUACUCCGGGUUCAGACCGAACCACUCCUCCGGCUGGGUGACACCAUUGUCGUCCACCAGUGUCGGUGUAGUCGGCGAUCGCCGAAGCCCGCCGGAUGAUGGCCGGCCGCGCCGGCUCCAGCUCUGUGUCGGCUUGCUGCCGCCAGGUAGCCAGCUGAUCCAGGCUCAGGCCGGGAUACCAGGCCUUGACGAACUCCAGCGCCCGCCUGGCGCCGGAGCGAGCCGCCGAGGCCUUCCAAGCCUCGAAGCGGCCGACUGCCACCUCCAGCCAGUCGGCAGUCCGACUGGGGGUACGAGGAACCACUUGGCCGGGCCAGAGGGCGGCCAAGACUUGCGCCCUGGCACGCUGAAGCCGACGGAGCAGUCGGUGAGCCGGCUGGAUGCGGGCCUGGAUCGCCAGGAGCUGCUCCUCCAGCGAGCGGCCGGCGGUUGGCGAGAUCUCAAAGCUAGCCUGCCUUCGCGCCUGGCGACGGGCCUCGAUGGUCUGGUUGGCGGCAGUAGAAUAGCCAGGGAAAUACUCUGCGCAAGAAAGGAAGAAAAGAACACCAAAAUCAGAAAAAGAGCCAAAGUGGCAGAUGGCAAGAAAGGACAAAGAGGUAGGCGGCUUACCGUCAACCAGAUCUUCGAUCUGACCAUAGCCAGAGACCAGAGUCUGCCUGGCCUCAGCCCAGCCAGCCGCCUCCGUCUCGUACUCGGCCUGGAGGGCGGCUUCACGGUCCUGCACCACCUUCAGGGCCGCCUUGUGGCCUUCCUCCUGGUCGGCCAGCUUCUGGACCAGGCGGUCGCGCUCCUGCACCAAGGCGGCGAGCUCGGCAUCCUUGGCACAAAGGGCAGUCUGAGACUCUCCCAGCUGCGCCCUCAGACUGGCGUUGGCCGCUGCAGAGACGGCAGGAAAAGAAGAACAGUAAGAAGUCGUCAAGGAAGACCCGACCCGACUGCUCAGCAGUCGGCCCGAAUCUCGGUAACUACACCCAGUGUGUGCGCUGACGCGCCCCCACAUGAGAUAAAGAACAAACCACGUACCUCGGCUCUCAGUAAGGUCGGCGGUCUUCUGAGUUAGCUCCCGAGCCUGGGAAUUGAAGGCGGCCGCUCGAAGGUUGUGGUAGUCCUGCAAGAUGAACAGAAGACCGAAGUAAGAACAAAAAUAGCAAAGGUAAAUCCACCAAGAAGUUCCAAGCCGCCUGCUCAGCAGCCGACUCGGAACUCGGGGACUACACCCAGUGGGUGCGCUGACGCGCCCCCACGGAAGAAAUCAAGAUCAAGAAGAAAUCAAGAUCAAGAAGAAAUCAAGAUCAAGAAGAAAUCAAGAUCAAGAAGAAGCAGGAUGGGAAUACUAACCCGGAUAGCCGCCCGCGUCGCAAGGAACUCGUCGGUGAACUGCCUCAGCGCCGCAGCUUUGCCCUGGAGCCGGGUCCGAACGUCCUGUGCAGCCACGUUCACCACGGCCGUCCCUCCGCCUGGCGUCCACCCCGAGGUUGCGCUGGCCGCCUCCGCAUCCCGGGCCGACGAGCUGGAGCCCACGGCCGGCUGCGGCUCCGACGCGGCUUUCUGUGGCUCCGACGCGGCUUUCCCCGCGUGCCGGCUCGACAGAAUCCGGACCGCCAUCUCCGCCCUCGCGGCCGGCUCGCCCCCCGCCGACUCUGCAGGCGGCGGAUCAGGCCGGCCGCCUUGAGCCGCCCCAGUUGGCGGGGUCGGCACCGGCGCCCUCUCCAGGAUGAUGACGUCGUCGCUUCCCCCCAGCCCUGGCUGGUCGCCGCUGGCUCCCUCUAGCGAGGGCUCCAUGUCCCCAGGCGCCAUGACGCGCAGCGGGGUGACCAUCAAAACCUCCCCCGCCGCCGCCGCGGCCGCAGCCUCUGCUUGGGCCCUGGCUGCGGCAUCGGUGAGUGCCUUCGCCGCCUCCUCCUCCCGUGCCGCCUGGGCGGCCGCCGCCCUCCGUGCCUCCGCCUCCCGCGCCUCUUGCUCCGCCCGCGCCUCCCGCGCGUUCCUUUCUGUCGCCUCCUGAAGGUCGGCACGGGGGUCCACGCGGCGGGUGGUGCUCCCAGAGCCUCUCGGCGACUCGACGACGGAGCCGGCAGCCGCCCGCUCAAGCGACAACGGAGCUCUGAUCAUUCGGAAAAAAAAAGAUAAGGUUUCAGGAACCACCAAAGAAAGAAAGAAAGAGAGUACACAAAGAAAAAUUCGGACUUACGCCGACACGGUCUGCGGUUGCUUCACCACCUUGCGGAAGCGAGCCGCCUUCGCGGCCGCCUCUUCCCGCCUGGUGGCUGCCGCCCCGCCUCUGGGCUUCUUCGUUCGGCUACCAAACAGACUCUGGGCGGCGCGACGCUUCUGCCCUCCGCCCCGAGCAGGCGGUGCAGCGGAGGAGCCCGCGCCCCGCCCAGAAGCCGGCUGGCGGCGCGGGGCGACCUCAACUUCGUCGUCGUCCGGCCAGUCGUCGAAGGUGACUCCGAGCCCGGAGCCGCCUGCUUCGCCGCCGGCUUGGCCGCCACCCGGCUCGAUGUUGUCGUCCAUGCCGGCCGCCCCCAGGUCGGGAUCCUCCAGAUCGUGUUCCGUCCGGUCGGGGAUGAAUCGACGCUCUGUGUCUGACCCGCCGGCCGGCCGAAGAAGAGGACUCUGUCAAAAGAACAAGCCGACUAAGUUAGAGUCGGCCAAGAGGAACUCGGCAAUGAAGUUGAGAGAAAAAGAAGACACAGGGAGAGCAUACCGUGGGCGGUGGAUUGGCUCGGCUGUAUGGCUCCUUGCCGAAUUGCCACUCUUCGGAGAGUUUGCAAUUCGCAAGGUAGUUCACCAUAUAGGCGACCUCCUCGCGCGGCAUGUCCUUGGUGCACAUCCGGCUCGGAUCGAGCUGGCCGCUCAUCUGACAGAUCAGAUGAGGACGGCUCUGGAGCGGAAGAACCCGGCGCGUGACGAAGGCGGCCAGAAGGUCAGCCCCCGUCAAGCUCUCCGACUGGGUCAUCACUCGCACUCGGGCGACGGCUGCGGACCCGCCCGGCGUCAGAGUCACAGCCCGGAAGGACCACUGGGGCAGCCUGCCCGCCGGUGGUCCGGCUACGUAAGCCGGCAGGUUGAUGUAGUCGCCCCGUGGGGCGAUGUUCCGCACGUAGAAGUACGACUUCUGCCACUUCUUCACCGAUUGGAUUAGCGGGAUGACGGGGAAGGGAUUGUCGGCGACCGACCUCCGCGAUGAGAUGAAGGCGCCAGUCUGAGCCGGCACGCCCCGCAUGCGCGUGCCCAGCUUCGACUGGAAGAACUCCCCCCAGAGCUCGAGGGUGGGGGGACGCCAAGGUAGCCCUCACACAGGGUGACGAAGGCCGACAGCCGCACCACCGCAUUCGGGGUGAGGUGGUGCGGCUGGAGCUGAUAGAAUUCGAGCCAGGAGCGGAAGAAGGCGCUCGCUGGAAGGCCGAUGCCGCGCAGGAAGUGCGAGCGGAAGACCACCCGCUCGCCCUCCUGCGGCUCCGGCGUGAUUUCCUUCGCCGGCGCGAGGCGGACCUCCACCUUGUCCGCGCCGGGCAGCCGCCGCGUGUUGCGGAGAAACUCGACGUGGUCGUCGUGGACGUUGGAGCCAUCCCAAUCCCCGCCAUGUUGCUCCGUGGCGGGAGGCAUGGCAAAAACAAGCGCGGCGGCGGAGGAAUGCGUAGUGGAAGAGCGCGGCGGCGGAGCGCUGUCGCAAGAACGGGCGAGUGAAGAAGAUGGUGGAAGUAGGAGGAGCGUGCGAGGGCCUGCCGCCCUCCACCUCCCCCUACUUAUAGCCUCGCGAGGCGAGGCCGAAGAGGCCGGACGUGGGGGGGAGACGUGGGAUUAACUGCACCCAUUCCCCCCACGCCCCGCGAUUAUUGCGCGCAAAUGCGAGCCGAAACUGCCGCACGGGACGUGCGGGCGGUUUCGGGAUGUAGAGAAUCCGUGCCUGGGCCAGGGCGCGGACGUGGCAGGCCCCCGCCCUGCGGCGACGUCCCGUCGCGCGCGUGGGCUGGCAGGCUUUCUGGCCGAGGGAGGCCACGUGGUUCGCAGAUGGCAAGUGGCCGGCCCGCGGCCCGGAGCACACGCUAGCGAGCUCCCGCCCUCCGACUCCGGAGUUUUCGACCAAGGCGGCACGCCUAACUGAAGCCGGCUCCCAGCUGCCGACUUGUCAAGAUAGGAAGCUGAUCGAGCUUCUCAACCCCUACUCCACCUCGAAGCCCAAUCAGCUUCGGGGACUACUGUCGGAGUAAAUGGCCACGGGUAGGCUAACCGACUGCCCCUGGUUCUUCUGAAAAAAUUAUCAGGCCUUCGGGCCUCCAAGCACUCCAAGCAUUGGGCCGCCUUCCCUGGCCGGCUACCUCUGAAGCCGACUCCCGGAAGGCGACCCAGCCUCAGCAACCCCUCCCCAGGACGACUACGGGGUGGCCGACUCCAAGAAGCCGACCAAGAGGGACGGCGACUCCAAGAAGCCGGCCAAGACCACAACCACCAAAGCUACCCCCACAUAACGGCGACAAGACGGGGUGUGGCCACAGUGCGGCCCACUACCCCCGAAGCCCGAGGCGGGCAUGGCUACAGGAGGCCGUACGGGACGGCCGUCUCCUGUGCGGCUCGGCACUGUAGCCAUGCUAGCCUCAACGUCAUCCACGACAGACUCCCAUACGGCCCACGGGCGGCGGGCCCCUUCAGCCAGAGAGAGGCGUGAAGGCGGCCCGGCCUUUCCCAGUCGGCCAAGGGCGUAGCUAGCCCCCAGAAGCCGGCUACUCCCUUCCUCGAAGCAGGAGCCCCAUUAAGGAGACAAGACGAGGUAAGGCUACAGUGAGAGCCCCCGAGGCGGCCCACUGUAGCCACGCUUACCUCGACAAAGCCCUCGUCAUCAGAGGCGAGGCUACAGUAAGCAGCCGCCGACAAGACCCUAGGCGGUGGGGCCGGCCUGUCGACCGAGAGGCCGGCAGCCGGCGGGACCCACCAGUCGGCGGGCCCCAACGGCCGGCGGAGAAGCCGGCGAGCGUAGACAUUGACGGCUGGGACCAGUGCCCAGCCGGAUUACCAUUGUACCCCCGGGGGGUAGGCCUAUAUAAACCCCCCGGAGCACCCAUGCAAAGGGUUGGCUUCUAAGCAUAGCACACACACACCAUAGAUUGAGAGAAGCAAGAGCUAGCCUUGUUCUUCUUCUCCCCUGAUCCCAACGGCUCUAGGAGCGAUUGUAGCUACCCAUUCUCGAUCUAGUGAUCAUGCGGAGACCCCGCAGAGCAGGACUAGGGGUGUUAUCUCCUCGGAGAGCCCCGAACCUGGGUAAGAUCCGUCGGCGUGCAUGUCUUCUCCUCAUCCCGUUUCCAGGCACCGGCGAUGUCUUAUUGGCACCCACAAUGAUAAGCCAUCCGUUGGCAUAUGUCGCACCAACCACCCGACACAUGCACUUAUUAUCACAAUAAAAAAACAAUAUCCAUGCUGCAUCCCAGUUAUCAGUCUUUACUUGCAGAAUUCUCUCAUUUAUUGAGCACGUAUAUUGUUUUUUCAGGUCGAGCAAGUUUCAACUGGGCUGUAGACUGCCUAGGGUUGGUUUUGUUUUUAACAGGCCUAGCACAUGACGACAACGGGGCACAAAGAUCCAGCAGGUAUCUACUGGCCUCUGGCCCGCCAGCAUUAGUUAUAUUUUGUCUUACAACAUCCGCAGGCAGUUUUUUUACUGAAUCAAACACACAGCCCAGUUCUAUUUUCCUCUUGAAACGCAUGUCCUACAUCCGUUUUCUAAUCUCUACCUAUAGUUUUACUAGUUCAUAUACACGUAUCAUUAUAUUGAAAACACAUAAAAUUCCCUUUUCAUAUUUACAUCCUUAUUUUUGUUGUUUUUUCCCACCCAGCGCUGAUGAUUUUACCACUGGUUUUCCCUUAAACCAACUCAAUUGUCCCACGUCUUAUUUGCUUACAAAAACAAAACAAUUUUUUUGGCAAAUCAAUAAGUUCUUAAAAAAUUGUUUAUCAUUUUGGGAUUACAACAGUUCGGACUCCACCGAAAUAUGCAAAAUAAGGUUGAACUUUUUGACCGUGGUCCUGGGCAGAAAAUGGGCUGUAAUAAAUUACUUAAGAAUUAGCAAAUGGGCUGCAAAUUAUAAAAAAUAGCGAAUGGGCUUUAUGUUGUCUGCCACAUAUUUGGAGGCUGACUUGUGGGCCUACUAAGUUCAUGUGUACACAAGGUUUCUCAAAAAAGAAACUUAGUCAACAAUCGAGUCUACCAGCGUCAGACCGUUAGAUGUCAAUCUAACGGCAAUCGUGCUUCUUCAGUCCCUCAUCUUCCUGCCCCAGCCGCCCAAACCAGCGCCGUCGGAACCGCCUGCUCCCGCCUCCCAUGGCCGGCAGUGCUGCCGGGCAGGCCUCACAGCCCCAUCAUACUCGCAUCCCUGGCCUGUCUAUCCCUCUACUCACCCACACCUCCUGUUAUUUUCCGGCGACGGCAGCCGAACCAGUCAACCCUCGUACUCUCCACCGCGUGGGCAGCCACUGCCGUGUCUUCCCCGGCAACGUGUCGUUCCCUUCGUAGGCCUCGCCGUCGUCCAUCGCCCUGGUGCUCUCGGCGCGGCGUGGUCAACGAUGUCCAUCCAACGGUCGUAGUGCUUCUUCAACCUCUGGUCUUCUUGCCCCAGCCGCCCAAAGCAGCGCCGGUCAUGCCGCAUGCUCCUGCCUCCCGUGGCCGGCUGUGCUGCCGCGGAGGCCUCACCGUCCCCAUACUACUCCCAGCGCUGGCAAGGCCAUCCCUCCACUCACCCACUCCCCCUGUUAUUCUGCGGCGACGGCAGCCUCACACCGCAGCCGAACCAGUGAACCCUCGUACUCCUCUCCGCAUGGGCAUCCACUGUCGCGUCUUCCCCGGCUCCGCGUCGUCCCCUUCCUAGGCCUCGCCGUCGUCCACCGCCGUGGUGCUCUCGGCGCGCCGUGGUCAAUGUGGUCAACGACCGACUUAUAUCGGAAGAGUACUGUACGUGGAGAGGCUGACAGCUGGGUCCACGGCUGCCGCAAGGAAGUGCCUCCUUAUUACGCGCAAAUUAAUUAUUCCUCCACCUGACAGUAGGGACCCACCGGACGGGCCACCAGUAUUUCACGGAAAAAACGUUUCCCCCCUGACUGCUGGGACCCACCGGACGGGCCACCGUAUUUCAUGAAAAAACGUUUGCCCCUGACUGCUGGGACCCACCGGACGGACCACCGUAUUUUGCGAAAAAAUGUUCACCCCGCUGUCAGCUCGGACCCACCGGAAGUGCCUCCUUAUUACGCACAGAAAAAUGAAUACUCCCCCUGCUAGCUGGGACCCACCAUUGUGGGAGGCUGACUUGUGGGCCUACUAAGUUGACGGGGACGGACGGCUUUGUCAACUUAGUCAAUAUGAACGAUUCUAGCUCCAGUGACCGUAUGAUGUCCAUCCAACGGCCGUCGUGCUUCUUCAAUCUCUGGUCUUCCUGCUCCAGUCGCUCAAACAAGCGCCGGCGGGACUGCCUGCUCCCUCCUCCCCGCGGUCGGCUCUGCUGCCGCGCAGGCCUCACCGCCCCACCGUACUCCCAUCGCUGGCCUAGCCAUCCCUCUACUCACCCACACCUGCUGUUAUUCUCCGGCGACGGCAGACGAACCAGUAAACCCUCGUACAGUCGUACUCCAUCCCGCGUGGGAAACAACUGCCGAGUCUUCCCUGCCUCCGUGUCGUUCCCUUCCUAGGCCUCGCCGUCGUCCACCGCCCUGGUGCUCUUGGCGCGGCCUGGUCAACGUGGUCAACGACCGACAUGCAUCUGAAGUGGACUGUACGUGGAGAGGCCGAUAGCUGGGUCCACGGCCGCACGCAAGGAAAUGCCUCCUUAUUACGUGCAAAAUAAUGAUUCCUCCACCUGACAUCAGGGACCCACCAAAAGGGCCUCUGUAUUUCGUGAAAAAAAGGUUACCGCCGCUGACAGCUCGGACCCACCAGCUAUAUCUUCGCACGCAAGGAAGUGCCUCCUUAUUACGCACAAAAAAAUGAAUACUCGCCCUGUUAGCUGGGACCCAGUAUAGUGGCAGGCUGACUUGUGGGCCUACUAAGUUGACGGGGAUGGAGGGCUUUGUCAACUUAGUCAAUAUGCACGAUUCUAGCUCCAGUGACCGUACGAUGUCCAUCCAACGGCCGUAGUGCUUCUUCAACCUCUGGUCUUCUUGCUCUAGCCGCCCAAACCAGCGCCGGUCGUGCCUCGUGCUCCUGCCUCCCGUGGCCGUCUGCGAAGCGGCGGAGGCCUCACCGCCCCCUACUACUCCCACCGCUGGCCAGGCCAUCCCUCUACUCACCCACACCCCCUGUUAUUCUGCAGCGACGGCAGCCUAACACCGCAGCGAACCAGUGAACCCUCGUACUCCUCUACGCGUGGGCAUCCACUGCCGCGUCUUCCCCGGCUCCGCGUCGUCCCCUUCCUAGGCCUCGCCGUCGUCCACCGCCCUGGUGCUCUCGGCGCGGCGUGGUCAACGUGGUCAAGGAAUGGCUUCCAUCGGACGUGGACUGUACGUGGAGAGGCUGACAGCUGGGUCCACGGCCGCAGCAAGGAAGUGCCUCCUUAUUACGUGCAAAAUAAUUAUUCCUCCACCUGACAACGGGGACCCACCGGACGGGCCACCGUAUUUCAUGAAAAAAACGUUUCGCCCCUGACUGCUGGGACCCACCAACUACACCUUCGCACGCAAGGAAGUGCGUCCGGGCAAAAAAACAAAACGAUUCGCCCCACUGACUGCUGGGACCCACCAGCUACAUCUUCGCACGCAAGGAAGUUCCUGACAGUCGGGACCCACCUGGUCAAAGCGUACGUAGCGUUGUCAUUCUGGUCGCGAACGUGUACGUACAUAUAUACUGGUGGAUGUAGAGGCGUGCACGUGUCAUAGUAGAGGCGCGUACGUGUCGUAGUAGGGGCGCGCAUGUAGCAUGUACACGUACUUACAGUGGCCAGGGUGCAAGAAAGAAAAUACGGCCACGUAUGUGUACAUACGGGCGGGGUCUCGAACGCCUACUCGUGCAUACGUACGGCCAGGGCUCGUGUACAUGGCUGGGUCGGAACGGAGAAACAGCGUCGUCGUCGUGUUCAUGGGGAGGCAACGGAAUGCGUCGUGUUCAUCGGGAGGCAACGGAACGCGUGGGAGCCAACCGGUUGGGUCAGAACGGAAUGCGUGGUCGUGUUCAUCGGGAGGGCUUGGACGGAACAGGCGAUGGAAACGAGGCCUGGCGUACCGCAGAACGGAGGAAACGGACCUCCUACAGUCAAAACGGGGGUCCUGUUGAUCGGGAGGGGUGUGGCGUACCGCAAAACGGAAGAAACGGACCUCCUACGGUCGAAACGGGGGUCCUGNNNNNNNNNNNNNNNNNNNNNNNNNNNNNNNNNNNNNNNNNNNNNNNNNNNNNNNNNNNNNNNNNNNNNNNNNNNNNNNNNNNNNNNNNNNNNNNNNNNNNNNNNNNNNNNNNNNNNNNNNNNNNNNNNNNNNNNNNNNNNNNNNNNNNNNNNNNNNNNNNNNNNNNNNNNNNNNNNNNNNNNNNNNNNNNNNNNNNNNNNNNNNNNNNNNNNNNNNNNNNNNNNNNNNNNNNNNNNNNNNNNNNNNNNNNNNNNNNNNNNNNNNNNNNNNNNNNNNNNNNNNNNNNNNNNNNNNNNNNNNNNNNNNNNNNNNNNNNNNNNNNNNNNNNNNNNNNNNNNNNNNNNNNNNNNNNNNNNNNNNNNNNNNNNNNNNNNNNNNNNNNNNNNNNNNNNNNNNNNNNNNNNNNNNNNNNNNNNNNNNNNNNNNNNNNNNNNNNNNNNNNNNNNNNNNNNNNNNNNNNNNNNNNNNNNNNNNNNNNNNNNNNNNNNNNNNNNNNNNNNNNNNNNNNNNNNNNNNNNNNNNNNNNNNNNNNNNNNNNNNNNNNNNNCCCCGCAACGCUCACUGUUCAUCCAAUCGAUCGGCUUCAGUUAGCAGCAGUAGCGAAGGAAUCGCUCGAUCGGGUUCAGUUAACAGCCAUCGAUCGAUCGCUCGGGUUCAGUAACGCGUAGCCUGCAGUGCAAUCGCUCGGGUUCAGUUAGAGCCCAAUGCCUCGCUCGGGUUCAGUUAGAGCCAACGCCUCGCACACACGCGCGUACAUGUACGAGAGAAACGCGCAUCGCUCGGCCCCCGACCUCCCACCGUAACCGGGAACUCCCCGAAAUUUUCCUCGCCCUCGCUUCUACCACGGUUUUUUCCGUCAUGGACGGCCCAAAGAAUGUCAUGCAGCUGCGUCUUCGGCCCGCCCAGGACGAAAAGCCCAUUUACUGUCAUGAUUUUUUGUCGUAGAAGUAGGAGCCCACCACAUCUAUGAUGAUACCGGGUUUUGUCACAAUUAUCGUCAUAGAAGUGUUAUAUGUAUGACAGAAAAAAAUUCGUUCGGCCCAAAAUGUCACGGAUGUGUCUUUUUUUGUAGUGCUCCCCAUGUAACCCACAAGUAUAGGGGAUCACAACAGUUUUCGAGGGUAGAGUAUUCAACCCAAAUUUAUAGAUUCGACACAAGGGGAGCCAAAGCAUAUUUGCAAGUAUCAGCAGCUGAGUUGUCAAUUCAGCCACACCUAGAGAUUAAUUAUCUGCAGCAAAGUGAUCAGUAGCAAAGUAGUAUGAUAGUUUUGAUAGUAGUGACAGCAGCAAUAGUAACGGUAACAGUGAUAGCAGUAUUUUUGUAGCAAGUGCAAUAGUAAUGAUAGCACUAGUAACUUAGCAAGAACAAUAAAGGAUAAAUUCAUAGGUAUUGGAUCGAUGAUUUGAUGGAUGAUAUUCAUCAUGUGACAGUCAUAAUCUAGGGCCAUACGGCACUAGCUCCAGUUCAUAAAUAUAAUAUAGGCAUGUAUUCCGUAAAUAGUCAUACGUGCUUAUGGAAAGAACUUGCAUGACAUCUUUUGUCCUACCCUCCCAUAGCAGUGGGGUCCAAUUGGAAACUAUGGUAUGUUAAGUCCUCCUUUUAAUAGAGAACCGGAACAAAGGUUUAACACACGGUGAAUACAUGAACUCCUCAAACUACGGUCAUCAGUGGGAGUGGUCCCAACUAUUGUCACUCCGGGGUUGCCGGAUCAUAGCACGUAGUAGGUGACUAUAACUUGCAAGAUGAGAUCUAGAACAUGGAUAUAAUGGUGAUAACAUAAACAGUUCAGAUCUGAAAUCAUGGCACCCGGGCCCAAAGUGACAAGCAUUAAGCAUGGCAAAGUCAUAGCAACAUCAAUCUCAGAAGAUAGUGGAUAUUAGGGAUCAAGCCCUAACAAAACUAACUAGAUUACAUGAUGAAUUUCAUCCAACUCCUCACCGACCAUCGAGCAUGCGAAGGAAUUACUCACUCCCGGGGGGGAGCAUCAUGGAAUUGGCGAUGGAGAAUGGUUGGUGAUGACGAAGAACGAAGAUCCCCCUCUCCGGAGCCCCAAACGGACUCCAGAUCUGGCCUCCCGAUGAAGAACACGAGGUGACGAUGGCUCCGUCUCGUGGAUCAUGAUAAUUCUUUCUCCCUGAUUUUUUCGUGAAAAAUAUGAUUUUAUUGCGUCGGUUUCAGGGUCUGCGGGGCCACCAGGUGGGGAAAACCCACCUGGGCGCGCCUGGAGGGGACGCACCCUGGUGGGUUGUGCUCACCCAGGUGCCCCCCUCCGGUGGAUCUUGGCUUGAGAAAUUCUCUUUAUCGAUAUUCGCAAAGUUUCGUUCCAUUCUGAGAACUUCUAUUUCUGCACAAAAACAACACCAUAGUAGUUCUGCUGAAAACAGCGUCAGUCCGGGGUUUGUUUCAUUCAAAUCAUGCAAAUUAGAGUCCAAAACAAGAGGAAAAGCGUUGGGAAAAGUAGAUAUGUUGGAGACAUAUCAACUCCCCCAAGCUUGAACCUUUGCUUGUCCUCAAGCAAUUCAGUUGAUAAACUGGAUGUGAAAGAGAGAGAAAAUUACGAACACUUUUUCUCUUGUGCAUAAAUAAGCUUAAACAGCACCCUUGUUUUCAGCCAGUAUUACAACUAACCAUGUCGACAAUAACUCUUAAAAAUUAUAUUAACUCAUAUCAAUGACAUAAUCAGCUAGCGAGCAAUAAUGAGAUAUCUCAAAUAGCAACACGUUAUCAAAAGAACCAUGAUAUAAUAUGACAAUAGUGUUAUCUCGCUAGCCCUUUCUGAGACCGCAAAACAUAAAUGCAGAGCACCUCCAAAGUUCAAACAGCGACUACACAUUGUAAUUCAUGGUAGAAAAGAUCCAGUCAUGAUGCACCCAACAUUAGCUACACACAAUGCAUCAGCAUGACAACAGUGCUCUCAGGUUCUGGCGCUUAUUUUAGAAGGUGAUGACACAACAUAAAAGUAAAUAGAAAGUCCCUUCGCAGAGGGAAGCAGUGAUUUGCAGCGGUGCUAGAGCUCAUGUUUUUAAAACAGAGGUAAAUGAUUUUUUUUUGAGAAAUGCACCCUUCUUGUUUACUUCACGACCAUCAGUUAUCAAUAUCUUCCAUGCUAAGCAAGCUAGUGGUGGUUCCCAAGCAAUAAAAGUAAAGGUUUACUCCCCCUCCACCAAUAGUCACCCUCCACGGCUUGUCCGAAACAACGGGUGUCGUCCAUACGAACAACAGUUCCACGGGAGUUUUGUUUAAUUAUUUGCAUUUUUUAGUUCGAGACUGGGAAUCCCUAUUACCGCCCUUUUCUCGUACGAUGGUGAAUGAAUAAACACUCAACCUGAGAAUAAACCGUUUAACAUGGAAGAUACCAACCACCUCCUGUCAUUCCAUGAACGAUCCAGGCACACAAAAAGGAUAUAUAUUUGAAGUUUUUAGAGGUGGCACAUGCAAAUUUACUUAGGACGGCAGGGUAAUACCGCAUAUAGGUAGGUAUGGUGGACUUAUCUGGAAUAACUUGGGUUCAAAGUUUUUGAUGUACAAGCAGAAUUCCCACUUAGUACAGGUGAAGGCUAGCAAAUAGGUUGAGAAGUGGCCAGCUAGAGAGCAACAACGGUCAUGAACAUGCAUUAAGCAUAAGUAACAUUGGACACUAGCAUGAGUAGGAUAUGAACACCAUGAACCUAAAUAUCAUAGAGGGUAUGUUGGUUUUGAUUCAACUACAUGCAUGAACAUGUGCCAAGUCAAGCCACUCGAACAUUCAGAGGAGGAUACCAUAUCAUCAUCCUACAUCACAAUCAUUUUAAAGAAAUGUUGAUAUCCAAGAUAAAUCAUUAUCCGUUCCUAGCUACUUAUGCAUGGCAUGAGAAACUAUAAUCUCUAAUUUUCAUUGCAAACAUGUUGAAUCAUAAUGGGCUAAAUCAUGGAUACUAGGUUAAACAUAUUUAUAAAAAUAGAACAAGUCGAGUUCAUACCCGUUUCUCUCUGCCACGGCCAGUUCAUCAAAUAUCAUCAUUAUUGCCUUUCACUUUCACGACCGAACAAUGUAAAAAUAAUAACAGUGCAAGAGUGCUGUGGACUAAGCUGGAAUCUGCAAACAUUUUAUUCAACAGGAGAAGACAAGGUAAUAUGGGCUCUUUGUUAGAUCAAUAAUUCUGCAUAAGAGAGUCACUCAACAUUUUCAUCAUGGUCUUCUCCUUGCUAUGACUCGAAUGAAAAGAAUAGAAACUCAGAGAAACAUACUGAAAUAUUUUUAGAGUUUUUGGUUUUCUUGAUCAAGCAAAUAAAAGGGAAAAGCAAAAACGAGAAAAACUAUUUACACGGGAAAGCUCCCAACAAGCAAAAGAAGAACAAGGAAAUCUUUUUUGGUUUUCUUUUUAGUGCUACAGCUAACUACUCUAGGAAGAAGAAUAAAAAAGAUGCAGGGAAUAUUUUUGGAUUUUCUCAAAGUUUUUCAAACACACAAGAAGAAAGCGAGAAAAUAAAUUUAACAUGGAUAAUACAAUGAAAAAGUGUGGACACCGACAAUUGGAAUGAUAUGUGUGAACAUGAAUGUAAGGUCGGUGGGAAUACGUACUCCCCCAAGCUUAGGCUUUUGGCCUAACUUGGUAAGCAGUCAGUAGCCUGGAUAGUAGUCAGAGUGGCAGCUCACGGAGGCUCUCGGUGCGGAUGCCUCGGCCUGCCGUGCCGCCUCAACUGCCGCAUUGCGCGCUCGGGCCUUGCUCUCAAGAACAAAAUACUUUCCCUUGCUAUGGUAAUCAAAGAGAGCAGGCGCAAGCAAAUAUGUGUACAACACAGAUUCUUGGUUAAACAACAAUUUAUAGGUGAAAUUAUGAAUAUCUCCUUUAAGGAUCUUAUGAUGUUUCAUAGCAUCAAAGUCUAAAUACUACAUGGGUAGAAUAGGGUCAUAGGGCAAAGGUGAAACACCCAGCUCUCUUGCUAAACGUGUGGCAUAAAUUCCACCAUAGAAAUAGCACUAUUAGCAUUGUGUUGCAACCUACCCGCAACAAUCGCUCCAAGAUUAUAACUCGUAUCACCGGUGAGAGCGGUGCGUAUGAGGCUCAAGUCUGGAGCACAAAGUGUACUACAAUCUUGUUUGCCUACAAUACAUUUCCCAUUAAAUAAAGCAAAGUACUGAAUUGCGGGAAAAUGAAUGCUCUUUAUUCUACCUUGCGUCACUCCCCUCGUCUCACCGUAGCAAAGAAUAGUCAAAAAUGAUUGGUACUCAGCCCUUGGUGGUUCGUCAAGCGAACCACAGAAUAGGAUUUUGCAGUGGUGAGCAAAACUCUCUAGUGAUAUAGUAAAUGAAUUUUCAUAAAGUUUAAAUGACAUCCUAGACUCCCGGGGAUGCACUACUACAGGAUGCUGCUAACGCGACACUACGAUCAGAGACCCUUCGACGAAACUGUGUGCGAUGCAAUAAUCGCAAACGGUGGUGUAAAAAACCGUCAAAAAGGGUGCAAAACAUUUGAGAUGACGGAUGCAUCAAACACGAUUCAGAUUUAGUGGCGUGUGCGAUGCAGGGCAUACAGUUUAGUUUAAUUAACUAUUUGCGAUGAUGAGGAACAAAAGAAACGGGCAACCAGAUGAAGAUGUGUGCAAUAUACAGCAUACGGUUCACUCGGAUGAACUGUUUGUGAUUAGGCAACAGAAAAGAAAUGGUCAGUCAGAUCAAGGUGUGUGCGAUAUACGACAUGCGGUUCACUCGGAUGAACUGUUUGCUUUGAGCCAAGAGAACAGAAACGGUUCAAUAUAACAAGAUGUGUGUGAUACGCGGCAAAUAGGUCUAUAAUCAGAAAUGUGUGCAAAUAGGUCUAUAAUCAGAAAUGUAUAAAAAGGCGAAACAAACCGUGAAUAAUUUCAUAUUUUUAGGAUGACGCUACUAUAUAUAGUUGCAUGUUGCCGCUGUAAAAUAAAUCAAGGUGGGAAGAGACUGUGUAUGUCGUUUCGCACACAUAGGUGACAAGGUCCCUCUUGGAACCAUGAGCCUUUUUGAGAGAAGCUCCGGUUUGUAAGAAGUUUGUAACCAAACUUGUCCCAAAUUGGACUAAUUUUUUACCACAACAUGUUGGUGGUAUGUCAUAACACCAUGCCAAGUUUCAUGAUUUUGAGGCGAGUUUUGGAUUUACAGUAAUUUUAAAACCAGGUUUCUCAAUGUUUACUGUCGAGUCGGCACCGCCCUAGAUAAGCUUUUUCCUCGUGGGUCCCAAAUGAAAAAUCCAAAUCUGUCACUACCAUGCAACUUUUCUUAUUAAGAAUUACAGCCCAUUUGGUGUGCUAGCUGAAAAUAAUUUUGUGGGUGCUUGUGGGCGCUAAGAACUUGCGGGUUCUGUAAUGAACAAAGAUCUCGAGGAUCCCGCGAGAGUGAUGUUCUUUCCCUAUGUUGUGAGUGCUUAUAAUAUUUAUGUCUUAAUUAAAGAAGUGGCAAGCUAUUGGCCCAAUAUGAAAGAAAAUAUGGGUCAAAACCGAGUUGAAAAGGGAAACAAUAUCUAACUCUAGCUUACAAACUGUACAAAAGCAUGAGGAUUAAUUGCUCGUCAGGUUUAGACAAAAUCCAGAUUGAACAGGACAAUGACAUCUAACUCAACCGAAGUUUUCGACAGUCACAAUCAAAUGGAUCGGUCUGGCCCAUAAAAUCAAGAUCCCCGGCCAGAAAUUCUACAGGUACAUGAUGACAAGUUGUUGUAAAUAGAAGCCGAGCACGAUCAGAAGCCCUUAGGUCCACCUGAAACUUCUUUUUAUGUUGUUCAACACUUGCAGCCGUAAGAAAUUUCUUGUCGAAAAACAUAAUCCUCACGGACAAUAGUGCCCUCGCAUUCAACAUGAAGAAUGUGACAAAGCUAGUGUUUGCAUUGUUGGAUGCAUAUCCUUCCAGUGUUACUGUCUUCAAACGAAUGUCAUGAGAUCUGAGAAAAUCCCGGUGCUUCUUGAACCAUCGAUUGGUUAUACCUUUUUCUCCAUGUGUUAGUGCCUAAAUAGAGAUGAAGAUUGAAAACAGUUAGUGUCUAAAAAAUAUCAUGUUGAAAGAGUGAUAGCUGAACGAUUAAUUAUAGUACAUUAUAUAUGGGCUUUCAAUGUGCAUGAAAUCAUCACCUUUAUAUAUAAAUUCUCCAGACAUGGAAAGCAUUGCAGCAAGCCAAUAAUCGUGUUUAGAUCAAAACACCACAUACUGAUAUGUAAGGUCUUGACAGAAUCCACCACCACUGAUAGGAUGGACAAGCUCUUCAUUGAGCAUAGAACAUAAUAUUAGUACCAAAAGUGUACUCCAAGAUGAUACUUAACUUAUGCGCACAAAUGAAAAAGGAAGAUUACAAAAGUUUGCGUGAAUAAUAUAUAGUACCUCAAUAGGUGUGGAGCCAAACACCAUCUUGAACCAUCUAAAAGGAUCACGAAUUGCACCCAAGGUCUCAAGUUUAGGCGUAGAGACUAUAGUUAUUUGCGAAGGUACUAUACCAGAAUCAAGGAGCAACCUUUGAAGUGAAGGGGCAUCUUCGAUGAUGAGAUGAUGUCCAAAAAAACAAAUUCCCGUGCUUACAAGGUGGGGCGACUUUAUUCUGAGACAACGGAUAUGAAUUUUCCGUUGCAAAAACAACCAGCAAGCGCAGCAGGGCAGGGCAGCUAGAGUGGAUGAUGCUGUGUAGUGCGGCCUCCGACAGAUCAACCACCACAAGCGCAAGUUUUUUUAGCAGUGGGAGUUGAAGCAUUUGUACCAGAUUGUCUGCUAGAUGGCACCGAGCAAAGGUGGCGGUGUGGAGAGAGGAGGAAAACCACGUGAUGGACAUUGGUGGUGAGGCCACUGAUACAUCGGUUUGUGGAAUGUUACAUACAUUGUCAUGGUAGAACACAAGCUGCUGGAGUUUAUGGAAUUGACGGGAUGUCAGCCAGGCGGCCACCAUGCAGGGUAUGUCCAGCAGGUAGCAUGCCGGGAUGCAGAUGCGUUGAACGGAGCCCUGGUGGGAGGAGAUGAUGGCUCCGGGGAGUUCAGAAUCAUCUUCGAGAGAUAGCUGACGACAGUCGAGAUUAAGAGGCGCGGUGCGCCACAGAGUGCGCCACUGAGAUGCGAGGACUUGUGUGCGGCAGCCAUCCUGGGUGGGGAGAAGGGAGAUGAUCUCCCCAAGGAUUCCGUCCGGGAGAUCGCUGAUGCGGUCCGCCAGAGAUUCUACUGGUUCCUCAGGUCCAGGGGCGCUUCUAGCCGCACAGCCGGGUCCAAGAUCUACCUCGGCGGUGGCGCUGGCCGGAGCCUCAUCUGUGUACAUACCAAUCUGAAAGAAAAAAAUGGCAUAACAUGUAGGACAUUCGAAAUCAAUUCUCAAGAUCAGGAAGAAAAAAGGCACAAACAUAUAUGUAGGACAUUCAAAAUCAAUUCUCAAGAUCUGGCCACGAAUCAUUAGCACACAAGCUAACCCUAGUCGGAUUAUUAGAAAAAAAACAUUUGUACAGAACAAACAAUUAAUCACUGACUCCAUACGGAUAACAUUCAAACAAUCAAUACACUACGUGCAUCUAACGGAUCUUAAUUACUCUGAUUUCAUGGACUGAGAGAACAUAACCAUAGGAUUUGUAUUCCAGAAACACAUGAUAUGUUUGCCGCACAAAUGGGUACAUAGAUGAUUAACCAGUUUUCCGUCGGAGUCACAGUCGUUGCCAGAGAUGCUGUUGACCUCCGGCUCCGGCUGGGGGGGGGCACGACGGCGCCGACGAAGUCAAGGUCGUGCUGCCGCCCGCACGAGACCUCGUCGGCAGCGACGGAAACCUCUGUGCCCAGCUUCACGCGUUGCGGGGGUGCUUCACCAGCCCCGUCGUCGCCACUCCCUCCGAAGGUGCGCUUCGGUGGCAUCGUCACACACUCCAGAGUCCAGACGUUGGUGAGCACCGUGGACCAGGGGUGCAGCCGCCUAUUAUGGCCGGCAGCUCGGGCGCGCAAUUAAUACGGACCAGUGGGAGCGAGGCAGGUUGCGGUCAAAAGCUGCCUCGCCUCCCGGUGAGCCUGCGCGACGGACUUCUGCCAUUGCUACCAUCAUUUCACACAACUACUCCCUUGCCUCCCCGUCAAUACGCACACCUGCACGCACGCCUCCCGGUAUGCCUGCACGGCGGACUGCUCACAUGCGUCCCAUCAACUCACGCCUGCUCGCACGGCACACGGGGUGUGUGGCAGCACGUAUAUCUUUUGGUUUAUUUUCUAUCGCUUUACUGCUUAACUGAACCGUUUGCGUUGAAGAGAUGCAAAAAUCCUGCGUUGAACAGCUCGCAUGCUUCCCGGUGAACCUGCGCACCGGACGAGUUUUGGAUUUACUAGAAUUUAAAAACCAGGUAUGUCAACGUUUUUGCUGGCAAUCAACAGUGCCCUGGUGUUUGAAAUUCAUUCCCAUUUCUUGCAUGGGACCUGAGCAUGCACCCAAGGAUACGUAUUUGAUUUUUCAACCAAUUUAUAUGCAAAGGAGCAUGUGCAUGUAUUUCAAAUUUGAAUUAUGCACAUAAAAUGCCUAGAGAGCCCUGUUAAUGUAUAAAAAUGUCUAAACGAGCCCCAAAAAAUUCCAAAACUUAACACAACACUCCUGUUGUUCUAUGUUGACACCAGAAAAUUUUUGAAAGCAAUAAGAGGCAACAGAUAUUGUUUCGUCCCCAAAGGUGGCACGUUCCCUACCGAAACCACCAGGCUUGUUCUGAGAAGCUCUGGUUUGUGAGAAGCUUAUACCCAAACCUGCCCAAAAUGGGAGAAAUUUUUUACCACGGCAUGUUGAUGCCGCUCCAUGAUACCAUGCCAAGUUUCAUGAAUUUCAGACGAGUUUUGGAUUUACUAGAAUUUGAAAACCAGGUAUAUCAACGUUUUGUCGGCAAUCAACAGUGCCCUAAUGUUUGAAAUCCAUUCCCAUUUCUUGCAUGGGACCUAAUUAAGCAUGCACCCAAGGACACAUAUUUUAUUUUUAAACCAAUUUAUAUGCAUUUGAGCAUGUGCAUGUAUUUCAAAUUUGAAUUAUGCACAUAAAAUGCCUAGAAAACCCAGUUACUGUAUAAAAAUGUCCAAACAAGCCCCGAAAAAUUCCAAAACUUAACACAACACUCCUGUUGUUCUAUGUUGACACUACAAAAAAUUUGAAAGCAAUAAGAGGCAACGGAUAUCGUUUCGUCCCCAAAAGUGGCACGUUCCCUACCAAAACUACCAGGCUUGUUCUGAGAAGCUCUGGUUUGCGAGAAGCUUAUACCCAAACUUGCCCCAAAUGGGACAAAUUUACCACGGCAUGUUGAUGCCGCUCCAUGAUACCAUGCCAAGUUUCAUGAAUUUUAGACGAGUUUUGGAUUUACUAGAAUUUAGAAACCAGGUAUCCCAACGUUUUGCCCGCAAUCAAUAGUGCCCUGGUGUUUGAAAUUCAUUCCCAUUUCUUGCAUGGGACCUAAGGAUGCACCCAAGGACACAUAUUUGAUUUUUCAACCAAUUUAUAUGCACUGGAGCAUGUGCAUGUAUUUCAAAUUUGAAUUAUGCACAUAAAAUGCCUAGAAAACUCAGUUAAUGUAUAAAAAUGUCCAAACGAACCCCAAAAAUUCCAAAACUUAACACAACACUCAUGUUGUUCUAUGUUGACACUAGAAAUUUUUUGAAAGCAAUAAGAGGCAACGGAUAUCGUUUCGUCCCUAAAGGUGCCGUGGUGUUCGAAAUUCAUCCCCAUUUCUUGCAUGGGACAUAAGCAUAAACCCAUGGACAUAAGCAGAUAAAAGGUCUAGCAAUUCAAACACCGUCCAUUGCCGCUGUGACCCUAUUAUGUAAUUCAAAUCAAGAUCAAAAAUAAAGUAGAUCCCACACAGUUUAUUAUCACCAACCGUGUGAGAUGCAGUACAAAAUAUCCUGGAGCACCAUCAGUGUAUAGUACGCCUAUAGCUUACUCGAGAAGGUGCGUCGGCUACAGUCCACAGUAUUACUACCUCGUAAUCUUGAAAAUAUCUACCGCCUGGAAGGUUUUAAUGUUUGAUAGCACAUGAUUAGUAUGUGCAGACCGUGUGCGAUAUCUGAUACUCCCGCUCUACUUCAGUCCCUUGAUUCAAACUUUUAGUAGCCCCGGCAUUUUUCUCCCGCCUCUACAUCCCUCGCACAUGAAAUCGAAGCAAGGCAGCGGAAAUCACAUUGAAUGCAAUGUGUUCUCUACUUUCGUAUCUCCAUGUUGAAAAAAACUAUUAGCAAAACAUGAGGAGAGAGAAAAAGCUGGUUGAGGCUCAGACUCAACCAUCUGUGCUUUGCAGAUGAUCUUUUUUUUAGCGGUGGUGAUCUGAAUUCUAUCCAAGAGCUUACUAGUAUCAUGACUCAUUUUAACAGAGUGUUUGUGCUUUCAGUUAAUGCCAAAAAAGUAAGAUCUUCUUCAGUGGUAUUUCCUUUUCUUUGAAACAAACUAUUUUUGAGUGUGUCUUUAAUGAAGGGAUUUUACCAGUGAAAUACCUAUACCCUCCAUUCAUUUCCUUUUCUUUCAAGGCUAGCUCCCUCUGUAGCCGGUGGUUGACUCAAAAAUAUCUGCUCGCCCUUGAUCCAAAUUUUCAGUAGGCCCCGCCUUGUUACUCCCGCCUAGUAAAAUUUUCAGUUGCGGCAGUAUUUCCUCGAACACCACCUUGGCCCCCCCUCCACACACACACCACACUUCCCAAAACCUCCGCUCUCACAAAAACACACCACCCCCGAAAGCAUUGGUAGGUCGCCACCAUCGCCGGCGCCUUCAUCCUCAACCUCUGCCUGUGUGCCGGGGACCUCGAGGAGCCAAUGGCCAAAAAGAGGUUUAUCGCGGCCUUUUCGCCCGACGCCCGCGAGGUGGCUGCCGAGAUGUCCCCGUCAUCCUCCGCUGGCUCGAUCCGCCGUCGGCGGUCCCCCGAUCCGCCCGCCGCCGUGCCCCUACACCGGUUCGAGGACUUCCCCGUCCUCCCUCGGACCCGGCAGCCAACGAGGUCCUACCUCGGGGUCCGGCAGCGGCGGUGGGGGACGUGGGUCGCUGAGAUUACAGAUCAGGAGACCCACACCCGCCGGUGGAUCGGUAGCUUCCACACGGUCGAGCUCGCGGCCAUGGAGUAUGACUGCUGGCAGGUCCACUACCAUGGCGCGGCGGCUAGGCUCAAUUUCCCCUUUGGCACACGUCCGGUCGACCUCGUUCCACCGGAGCCAGGGUGGUGAGCUCGGCUAUGGCACGGGAGGACUGCGAGGCGUGGGAGCGCCUCGAGGCCGAGGCCGCGGCCGAGGCUUACAUGCAAGAUCUCCGCCGACAGCACCGGGAGCUCGUGGAGGCGGAGCAGGCGAUCUUUGUCUGUGCGUAGGGCGGCGAGGUUAUCGAGCUCUCCUCCGAUGACGAGGUCGAAAGCGGCGAGGACGGCGGUGCGGAGGGCGGCGAGGUUAUCGCGCUCUCCUCCGAUGACGAGGUCGAAGGCGGUGGUGACGGUGCUGCGGAGCACGUCGAGGUGGGCCUCGAGGACAAAGAGAUCGACGUCAACGAGUGGAGGAGUGCCUUCCCCAAUGACCCCGACGACGGCACCGUUCCGGAUCCGGCUCGCGACACGCCGUACAUACCGAGGAAUGAUUGACUCGACCUCUACUUUGACCGAAAGUAAUUUAGCUUAGUUUAAAUUUAUGUUUUAUGUUCGGUUAUGCAAAACUAUCUACGUUUGUGUUUGAAUGCAUGCUACUUUUGGUUGAACCUGCUUUGAACUUGAUCAAAUUGAAGUUUACAACCUUAAGUUUAGGGGAUCAACUAGAAAAGACCAAAAAUUGCUGGAGUAUAUAUAUAUAUCCACUAAGGGUUUUAGUCCUUUAACUUUUUAAGGAUCGGCUAGAGAUGGCCUCGUGACUUGUUUAUUUCAUCAAUAACAGUUUCAACAAUACCACUAUGAACUACGAUAUUUGGUUGCUGUUAAGGAUAUUGCAGUUAACAUGCCUUUUCAUUUUUUUAACCAUAACUAGUGUACUUCAGACCUGCACAAUACCAGUUUGAAUGACUAUUUGCUUGUUUUUUAAAUGUUAUGCCUCAUGCAGUUAACACACCUUUCCACUUCUUGUUUUGCUUAACUAGCAUGCUUAAUCCUGCAUACUAAAGCUAUCAUUUGUAGAUUAUGUUGUCUACCAUGGAUAUAUUUGGUUGAUGUUUAGCCUGUUGUGCUUAACAUGCCUUUAUAUGUACUCAUACAGGACAAUAUUGAGAAUAGUGUUGAUUUCCAUCGAGGUUCGUUUCAUCGCAUUGCUUAUAUGUACUCACUGUUCAGGAUAUCGGUAGCUGGUACCAUUUAGCCUGGGCUGAUAAGGAAUUAAUCGUCGAAUUGGACAUUUCACUGAAUAUAUCUAUAACCCAUUUAUCAGUAGGUUAACUAGGGCCAUAUUUAAUAUAUCUGAGGCUACAUAGCAACAUGCAUUGUACUGAAUGACUAAAUAUGCAAUCACAGGCUACAUAGCAACAAGGAAGAGUGUUACCUUAAUGUUCUGAUGAUGUCUAGAUAUACAUGUAAUAAAAUCUUAUAUAAUGGGAUGGAGGGAGUUUUGUACUACAUCAUUUUUCAAUUGUUGUUUAGCUUCUAAUAUUAACUUGGUGCUUUUAGGUACAUAUAUCAUUGCCAAAGAUCCACACUUCGACCCUUUCUGCGUAUGGGGCAAUGAGAUAUUCAUGAACCAACAUCAAGUGAGGAAACUAAUAAAGAUUGUUAUUAAAAUGGGUCAAAAGAUGUCAAUAGAACUAUUUGUUUACACUUUAUGCAAGACAACAUUGAACUGCAGGAUGGUAAGUAAGAACCAUGUAGCCUUCUUUUUACUGCCUGUAAUGAGUUGUGUUAGAUGACAAUGUCUGAAUCGUUUUUCUUUUGCAGUGCAUCCUGAAGCAGUUUACUCAAGAUUACCUCUCAAACUACAUGAUUGGUGGCCGGCCAUCACAAGGGGUUGGACUAGAGUCCUGCAUGCCUUCUGCAUCCAGGAGAGCACAAUAGGGCCAUUCUGCUUCACCUUGUUCAGCAACCGGAAUGUCUGUCGCCUCUUUCUUUACCAACUGUAAUAGUACAAGUAUAGAACCCUGGUUCGUCAUUCUUUAUUUGGUGCUUAUGUAAUUCUUAAACAUAUGUACCUGUGAAUCGAAUAAUGCAUUGGUUGUUUGAACCUGAUGGAUAUGAAUAAAGCUAUAGCCUACUUUCAAGUUUAAAUUAGGUACAAUUUUAAAUAGCAGCAAUUAAAUGAGGGCGAAAUUACGGUGUGUAGGUCAUUACGGCGCACACGGUUAAUAAAGCACAGCGUGUGCGAUAUACAUCAUAAUUCGACACGGUUCACGGAGAGGAAACGUGUGUAACAAUGGACAGUUGCCAUUUGCAAAGCGUGUGUGAUGUCGGACACUAUCACAUACGGUGCGGGAAAACUAAAUGUGUGUGAUUGUCUACCUAUCGUACACGGUUUAUAAUCAUGAAUUAUUUGUGAUGUGCCAGGCAGCGUAAAACUCCCGUGCCUAGAAUCUGCCUGGAAAACUCCCGUGCCUGGAAUCUGCCUGGUUUUAGGUAAACCCACAAAACUCCGACUGCAAUGGCAAUGCGAGCACAAACGAGUACCAAGGAUGAAGCGUUUGGGAUAUUCAAGAUAUCAGAAAUGGUUAUAUAGGGACAACUGUAUGCAUCAAGGCUCCCUAUCCCCAACAGUUUCUGGGUCGUGUGGGAAGGACCCCUCUAUCGCUAUCACUCACUAGGCGACGGUUCCAAAUGCCAUCGCGGAAAGGGGUUAAAAACCGUUUGUAUAGCACCGACGCGUACCAGUGAUGGAAUUUAAAUCCUUUGACAAAUGAUUCAGUGAGAGUGUGGUGUUGAUUGCACUUAUCUAAAAUGUAGGGACCGAGACUGGCAUUGUGAACAUAUUGUUCAAAUUCCCCCUUAAUGCCCACACGCACCAUAUAGUCGUCACACGGCGACAAGCAUGUUUUGGUGGCGGCAUCUCGUAUGGAACUUUCACUUGGUUCAACAUAAGACCGACGAACGGAACUGUUACUAGAAGAUGCCUCCGAGGAUCUCCUCUUUGAAGACCUCCUUCCAAAGAGGUUCAUCAUAUUCGCGUACAAUUUUCUAAAAAAAAUUGGGUGACAAAAAUUUAUCAACAAAACUUUACAAGAUUGAUAGCAACUACUCAUAGGGAUACAUAGAGGCCAUAGCAAGCAUUCAAACUACUUAGAACUCUAAGAAUUCAACAUGCAACCUCAUCUAUAGCAGCACCAUGAGUAGCUAAUUAUUCAAAAUAUAAACUACUAAAGCAAUAACUAAUUGGACAAACGGAGGAGUCACAUACCAAGCAACAAUCCCCCGAAAUAGUUUCGAAAACGGAGCUUCGAGCAAAGAGAUCGAAAUCCGUGGGUUUGAGAGCAAGAACACGAGGGGGAGAGAGAGCAAUGGUGAAUUUUUUCUGGAGGUAAGUGAUGAUGUGGUGUGAAGGAAUAAGUGAGGGGGACCACAACCCACCAGGGCACGCCAUAUGUAACUAGGGCCAUAUGUAAUAUAUCUGAGGCUACAUAGCAACAUGCACUGUACUUAAUGCCUAAAUAUGCAAUCCUAGGCUACAUGGCAACAAGGAAGAGUGUGGACUGUACUCUGCGGCCUUCUUUUUACUUCCUGUAAUGAGUUGUGUUAGAUGACAAUGUCUGAAUCUUUUUCCUUUGCAGUGGUUGCCAAAGCAGUUUACUCAAGAUUACCUCUCAAACUACAUGAUUGGUGGGCAUGCAAAGGUUAAAGUAUUUCUACCAGAACACGAUGAUUAUCUAGAUGUUUUCAUGAAGACCGUGAAGGAUGGGCAGUCGGCCAUCACAAGGGGUUGGACUAGAGUCAUGCGUGCCUUCUGCAUGGAGGAGGGCACAAUAUGGGCAUUCCGCUUCACCUUAUUCAGCAACCAGAAUGUAUUUCGCCUCUUUCUUUACCGUCUUUAAUAGUACAAGUAUACAACUGUGGUUCAUCAUUCUUUAUUUGGUUCUUAUGUAAUUCUUGAACAUAUGUACCUAUGAAUCGAAUAAUGCAUUGGUUGUUUGAACCUGGUGGAUAUGAAUAAAGCUGUAGCAUACAUUCAAAUUCAAAUCCAGUACAAUUUGAAAUAGCAGCAAUUAAAUUACGGUGAAAUUAUGCUCUCCAGGUUGUUAUGGCACACACGGUUGGUAAAACACAAACGUUUGUGAUAUACACCAUAAUCUGAGAUGGUUCACAGAGAGGAAACAUGUGCAAGCAUGCACAUAGUUGCCGUUUGCAAAGCGUGUGCGAUGUCAGAAAAUAUCAAAAAUGGUGCGGGCAAACUAAACGUUUGGUUUAGUUGCCUUAUCGUACACGAUUCGCAACCAUGAACUGUUUCUGAUGAAGUAUGCAUUGUAAACGUUGCACCACAGAAUAGCGUGUGUGAUAGUUGUCGUGUAUGACGAUGUUACGACGGUCCGACGUUUCGUAAUCCUGUCCGACACUCGUAGGACGAUUAGCUAAUUGUCGUGGAAUUGUCACGUCAGAUGUCCUAGUGUGAGGACCACUGAGUUAAACCAUUUUACAAAGCCUUUUAAGAUGGACCUCACAUUAACCAAUCGUCGUUUUAACUUUGACAAGUUCAAGGUCUGUAUAAGAUUGACUUGCCAAACGUUCGGCGGGUCAUACCAGGAUUACCUGGGUGGAGUGACUUACUUAAAGAAGGCAGGAUAACCCGCGGUUUUAGGUGAAUACACUUGGCUUCCAAGCCUGGCUUGAUAGCCUAUUACAAGGGUAUAGACUCUUUGUUCUUUGAGAAGCAAAGAGCCCCCAAGCAAUAUUUUGAGCUGUGCUCAGUGGGUGCCUAUGUUUGAGUUUGUGCUUUUGCAACACUCUCUUUGGCCCCUAUUAACUUUUUUGAGAACUCGAACUUUGCGAGAGAUAUUCCUUCUUGAACCAGAUGUUAAACCGGAUAUUGAGAGCUUAAAAGCUUUGUGGGAGACAUCUUUCCCUUGAACCUGGUCUUAAAUCGGAAUCUUCAUUUUCAGCCGGACUUUUUCUGACAGCCUUUAAACUCAAACUUGCGAGAUAUUAAUUCUUUUUGAACCGGAAAUUCUUAAACCGGAUUUGAGAGCUUCAGAGCUUUGUGGGAGACAGAUUUCCCUUGAACCGGAUUGUAAACCGGAUAUUUGAGAGCUUCAACGCUUCAUGGGAGAGAGAUAUCUCUUGAACCGGAUUUUGAACCGGAAUCCUUUCUGAUGACCCGGAACUUCUUCAUUGAGCCGGGAUUUUGUUAUUGUCAUAUACUUUUUAAGCCGGGAAUUUUCUGACAGCUUUUAAAUUUCCAUCAAUAUAGUAGUAGCCUCCGGGAUCGGGUUAUCUUUCCCUCCAUCGUCCUGGGGUUCUUAAAUUUGCUGAAACUGGCAAGAUUUGCUGAGUCAUGUCAUCGUAGCCCCCGAGUCUUAAGACGACUUGAGGAGUUGUCUUGAGAUUCUCCGUAGUCUACCAUAGCAGAAGGUGUAUAUUAUUGGUGUUGAUAGCGCGAUAUGAAUCCACAGAAGGUUGAGGUGACUGCGGCGGGUUAUAAAUGAUCUGUAUGAGUCAUGUCAACAACUCGGCCAAUGGUUCCUUCCAACUGGCUAUUUGAAGUUAUCUAAACUGUAGUAGCGGAGACUUGUGCGCCGGCCCAUUGAGCCAUCCAGUGCAGACGGCGGCUGAUAGUAUAUGAUAAUUUGCCUCCAAUCUGUUGAAAGAAAACCAGGCUACCCAAGUUGUGACUUGCGUUAUACUCAAUAAAUAGCUCAUGCAGACAGGUGCGGCCCGGUGUGUUGAUGUAGACCAGGCCGCGAGAGACGGACAGCAAAGACGAACGCGGCUUCAGAGGCAGCACAGAUAGCUGAGUCGGCCGCGGUGUUAUAAGCUGGCGUGGACGGGCGAGUUAGCCACAUCAUGUUGAUGUAGUGAACAAUUGUCCUGCCUCAAAAACAUCACAAGCCAGAGUAAUUGUUCCUUGACAAAAAUAAUAUGCGCUAAUAAAAUAAACCUUAGAUGGAUAUCACCUGAUAUACUAGGCCGGAAAUUAUCCGCCGCGGAGUUGAUGAUCACCAUGGUGAUGCUGAAAUCAAUCAUGGCUAAGUCGGCCGCAGGAGUAGACAGAUGAGUCGGUCGAGGAGAUGCAAGCCGGUGCGGGCGAGCAAGUUGUCCUCCGCGUUGUAAGCCGGUGCGGACGCGUGAACCGGCCGCGAGGGCGGAUGGGCGAGUCGCCCGUGGCGUUGUAAAGCGGUGCGGACGGGCGAGCCAGCCACGGCGUUGUAAGCCGGUGCAGGAGUCCGUUGAGUAAGGACGACCACCCGUGCCAAAUGAUGCUGGCAUGCCUCCAUCUCCGCGGUAUAAUGCCACUUUGUAAUGAAUAAUUCUCCUACAUAUAAAAAAUACCGUAGAGCAGAGUAGUUGUGCUCAGAGUAAUUAAAGUAUACUAAGAAAAUGUAUAGGAGAAAUAACACCUGAUUAUUUUUUGGACGCAUGCGGGCGUGGCCAUUAGAGUGUAGCUGGUCUCCACAUAUGUGUAUUCCAUCCAAUUUACGCAAACUGAUCUCCAAAGAAAAUCAGCCCAAUACGGAGUACCAGCACUAGUCACGUUGGUUUAUUCCUUAGAUCUCUGCGGCCGGAUUAGACAUCAAUCAGCACCAGCCUUUGUCUGCAAGUAGCACUUUGUUUCUUUGAAUUUAAUUAGCCCCCGCUACAAGAAACAGUAGCAGCGGCACUGAUUCCCUCGGGACUUGAAGCUGGCGUUCCGCUGACAAUGGCGGUUUAAAAGCGACGGGUCCAGCGUAGCAGAGUGGAAGCAGCGAACGAGCGGAUCUGGUGAUAGCAGCUGGUGGUUUUAGUGCUGCAGGGCCAGCAAAGCGGCGACUCGGAAGAUCAUUGGAAACGACGCAAUAAAAAACGCCAACAAAAACUCUUGAGCUAAAUAGAUCUGAUUACGUCCGUAGGCAGCGAUUUUGAAUACUCUGAUUCCUUCUUCACGGUUAUUUCUUUUCUUUUCCUUGGGGGAUGAGAUGUGUGCCUUGGUUGAGGUAGUAGCAACAGACACGCACGCACGAUCCUGGUGCUACUGGCUUCCGGCCGAUUCGCCGGUGACCGCCGACCUCGUGCACCAAGGCCACAUGUACUGACGCGGGCCGCCUCCAUCUCUUGAAGGGCCGGGUCAGCAGCAGUGGAGGCGAGCUGAGCCUGGGGACUGUGCUAGGGCGAGAGCGAGGCCAGCCACGGAGGCGGGCGACUCAAGACCGCGGCAACGUGCAGCAGAGGUGGAGGCAAGGCCGGUGCGGUGGCUAGCGAGGUGAAACCGAUUCCAUGUCCCACGUUAAGCCAGCGAGGCAAAACCGAGUCCGUGUCCCACGUCCCCCUUCGGGUCGUGGAUUUCCUUCCCCCUUUUUUUCACGGGCCAGAUUUCACUUUUGUGAAAAAGUAGUACUGCCAGAUGAUGCCUCCUGCCAGGUCAAUCUUGACUUGACGCCCGCUUGACGUAUUUGCUACUGCACAUUGACGUGACUUGCUGAUUGAUUCUUCCGUGGACUAGUACUCCCUCUAGUCUAAUUAAACAACUUCUUCCUUCUCAUGGAAAACAUCAAUGACAAAACCUCUUUUGGUUCUGCCUGCUGCCGCCGCGAUGAAUCUUCUCAGGACUCGCGUGCCCUUGUAAAAUAACGCAACCAUGGAGAUUGACUUUACUUUGGUCUUGGUGGAUUACGUCCGCAGAAAAAAUAACUGUAAAUAUGCAGGAUCACGAGAUUGUGGCAGUGGACAGAUUGCAUCCUUUCGCCUAUCUUUUUUCUUUUUCUUAACUUGAUUGAUGAACUUGAAGACGAUGUGAAUCUUUUUGCGCUGGCUCUUCUUUACCCGGUCAACUGCGCGCUUCUCGAUCCCUGGAGAAAUCCCUUCAAGAACUCAACAUCACCGUGCGCGAGCCCCACGGUGGGCGCCAACUGUCGUGGAAUUGUCACAUCAGAUGUGCUAGUGUGAGGACUUAGUCGUGAGACCAUCGCAUCUAUGUGGUAGCUUGAGAGGAGUUGAGCAGAAUCGAGAAACGCAACACAAGACAAAGGUUUAGACAGCUUCGGGCCCCGGGAAACAUAAUCCGGUAACAACCCUACAUGCUGUUUGUGGCUAGGUCUCAUUAUCAUCACCAGGGAGUCGAUGUAAACCGGCUCUCCUAGUUAUGUCUAGCCCUAAGAUUAUCUCUCUUGCUUGUCCCUCUUUUGGUAGCCCUGCCCCUCCUUAUAUAAGUUGAAGGGGCGGGUUACAUGUGGAGUCCUAUUAGGAUUAGGACUAGUCUACCUUCUAAUACAAACUGGAUACAAGUCCGGGUCUUAAGUCCUUGUAGGUAAAUAUUCCUCACGCCUUUCCUCUUAAACCGGCCCACCAUUAACAUAAAUCGGCCUUCUGGGCCUUGGGCCUUGUCAUCCGUCUGUCCCGCCCGCCGGGUUACUAAUGAACCGCCAAGAUCAGGCGGGUUACCCGUGAGUCGCCAAGCUCCAUCCGGGUCAUACAUCCAGCCGGGUUACACUGCGGGGUAUAUCCCUGACACUAAUCUUCUUAAUAGUGAAAUGUUUGUGAUGGGCCGCGCAUCAUUCACGUUCUCUAAUAGUGAACUGUUUGUGAUGGGCCACGCAUCGUAAACGUAGCACCAUAGAAUACCGACUGCGAUGGCAAUGCAAGCAGAAACGAGUAGGAUUACUAUAGGGUCCCUAUCCCUGACAAAUUCUGGGUCGUGUGGGAAGGACCCCCCUAUCGCCGUCCCUCACUAGGCGACGGUUCUAAAUGUCGUCCCGGAAAGGGGUUAAAACCGUUUGUAUAGCACCGACGCGUACUAGUGAAAGUGCAUUGAAUACUAUGAGAAGUUUGAUUCCUUAUGAUUGUUUUGAGACAUAAAGAUGGUGAUAUUAGAGUCAUGCUAGUGAUUAAUUGUGAAUUGGAGAAUUACUUGUGUUAAGGUUUGUGAUUCCCGUAGCAUGCACGUAUGUUGAACCGUUAUGUAACGAAGUUGGAGUAUGAGGUAUUUUUUGAUUGUCUUCCUUAUGAGUGGCGGUCGGGGACGAGCAGUGGUCUUUUCCUACCAAUCUAUCCCCCUAGGAGCAUGCGCGUAGUACUUCAUUUCAAUAACUAAUAAAUUCUUCCAAUAAGUAUGUGAGUUCUUUAUGACUAAUGUUGAGUCCAUGGAUUAUACGCACUCUCACCUUUUAUUGCUAGCCUCUCUAGUACCGCACAACUUUCGCCGGUACCAUACACCCACCAUAUACCUUCCUCAAAACAGCCACCAUACCUACCUAUUAUGGCAUUUUCAUAGCCAUUCCUAGAUAUAUUGCCAUGCAACUUUCCACCGUUCCGAUUAUUAUGACACGUUCCAGCAUUAUCAUAUUGCUUUGCAUGAUCAUGUAGUUGACAUCGUAUUUGUGGCAAAGCCACCGUUCAUAAUUCUUUCAUACAUAUCACUCUUGAUUCAUUGCACAUCCCGGUACACCGCCGGAGGCAUUCAUAUAGAGUCAUAUUUUGUUCUAAGUAUCGAUUUGUAAUUCUUGAGUUGUAAGCAAAUAAAAGUGUGAUGAUCUUCAUUAUUAGAGCAUUGCCCCAUGUGAGGAAAAAAAGGGCCAAAGAAGGCAACAAAAAAAGAGAGGCCAAAGAAGCCAAACAAAAAAAUGAGAGAAAAGAGGGAAGGGGCAAUGUUACUAUCCUCUUUCCACACUUGUGCUUCAAAGUAGCACCAUGAUAUUCAUGAUAUAGAGUCUCCUAUGUUAUCACUUUCAUAUACGAGUGUGAAUUUUUCAUUAUAGAACUUGGCUUGUAUAUUCCAAUGAUGGGCUUCCUCAAAUUGCCCUAGGUCUUCGUGAGCAAGCAAGUUGGAUGCACACCCACUUAUUUUCUUUUUGAGCUUUCAUAAACUUAUAGCUCUAAUGCAUCCGUUGCAUGGAAAUCCCUACUCACUCACAUUCAUAUCUAUUGAUGGGCAUCUCCAUAGCCCGUUGAUAUGCCUAGUUGAUGUGAGACUAUCUCCUUCUUUUUGUCUUCUCCACAACCACCAUAUUCUAUUCCACCAAUAGUGCUAUGUUCAUGGCGCACGUUCAUGUAUUGCGUGAAAGUUGAAAAAGUUUGAGAACAUCAAAAGUCUGAAACAAUUGCUUGGCUUGUCAUCGGGGUUGUGCACGUUUUGAAUAUUUUGUGUGAUGAAGAUGGAGCAUAGCCAGACUAUAUGAUUUUGUAGGGAUAAGCUUUCUUUGGCCAUGUUAUUUUGAGAACACAUAAUUGCCUUGUUAGUAUGCUUGAAGUAUUAUUGUUUUUAUGUCAAUAUUAAACUUUUGUUUUGAAUAUUAUGGAUCUAAACAUUCAUGCCACAAUAAAAAAUACAUGGAUAAAUAUGUUAGGUAACACUCCACAUCCAAAAUUCUGUUUUUAUCAUUUACCUACUCGAGGACGAGCAGGAAUUAAGCUUGGGGAUGAUUGAUACGUCUCCAAUGUAUCUAUAUUUUUUUAUUGUUCCAUGCUAUUAUAUUAUCUACUUUGGAUGUUUUAUAUGCAUUAAUAUUCUAUUUUAUAUUAUUUUUGGGACUAACCUAUUAACCUAGAGCCCAGUGCUAGUUUCUAUUUUUUCCUUGUUUUUGAGUUUCGCAGAAAAGGAAUACCAAACGGAGUCCAAAUGGAAUAAAACCUUCGCGAUGAUUUUUUUUGGACCAGAAGACACCCCAGAGACUUGGAGAUCAAGUCGGAAGAGCAACGAGGCAGCCACGAGGGGGGAGGGCGCGCCCCCUGCCUUGUGGCCUACUCCAACACCUCCUAACCUAAUUCUCCAGCCUAUAUAUUCACAUAUAUUCCCAAACCACAAGAAGUAUCCACGAAAACACUUUUCCACCGCCACAACCUUCUGUUCCUGUGAGAUCCCAUCGAGGAGCCUUUUCCAGCAUCCUGCCGGAGGGGGAUUGGAUCAUGGAGGGCUUGUACAUCAACUCUAUUGCCCUUCCGAUGAAGCGUGAGUAGUUUACCACAGACCUCCGGUCCAUACCUAGUAGCUAGAUGGCUUCUUCUCUUUCUUUGAUUCUCAAUACCAUGUUCUCCUCGAUGUUCUUGGAGAUCUAUCCGAUGUAAUCUUCUUUUGCGGUGUGUUUGUCGAGAUCCAAAGAAUUGUGGAUUUAUGAUCAGCUUAUCUAUGAAUAUUAUUUGAAUCUUCUCUGAAUUCUUUUAUGCAUGAUUUGGUAUCUUUGUAAUUCUCUUCGAACUAUCGGUUUGGUUUGGCCAACUAGAUUGGGUUUUCUUGCAAUGGGAGAAGUGCUUAGCUUUGGGUUCGAUCUUGCGGUGUCCUUUCCCAGUGACAGUAGGGGUAACAAGCAUGUAUUGUAUUCCUGCCAUCAAGGAUAAAAAGAUGGGGUUUACAUCAUACUGCUUGAGUUUAUUCCUCUACAUCAUGUCAUCUUACUUAAUACGUUACUCUGUUCUUCAUGAACUUAAUACUCUAGAUGCAGGCAGAAGUCGGUCGAUGUGUGGAGUAAUAGUAGUAGAUGCAGAAUCAUUUCGGUCUACUUGACACAUACAUGAUGCCUAUAUUUCAUAAUCAUUGCCUUAGAUAUCAUCAUAACUUUGCCCUUUUCUAUCAAUUGCUUGAUAGUAAUUUGUUCACCUACCGUAUUAUUUGCUAUCUUGAGAGAAGCCUCUAGUGAAACAUAUGGCCCCCGGGUCCACUUUCCAUCAUAUAAGUUUUUGAUCUACUAUUUUGCAAUCUUUUACUUUCUGAUCUAUAAAUCAAAAACCUAAAAAUAUUUACUUUAUUGUUUGUUUAGUUUCAUCUAUCUCUAUCAGAUCCCACUUUUUCAAGUAACCGUGAAGGGAUUAACCACCCCUUUAUCGCGUUGGGUGCAAGUUGUUUGAUUGUUUGUGCAGGUAUUGGUGAUUUGUGCGUUGUCUCCUACUGGAUUGAUACCUUGGUUCUCUAACUGAGGGAAAUACUUAUAUCUACUUUGCUGCAUCACCCUUUCCUCUUCAAGGGAAAAAACCAACGCAAGCUCAAGAAGUAGCAACACCCAGCUCCACUUGGGGAGUUUCCACUAAAAAAGCUCCACAUUAGGAGUAACCACCCUAUAAUGGUGGGACAGCCUAGUUUACGCGAAUUGAGGACGGGAAAUCAGUUCGAGCGACGUUUUGGUUGAUCGAAGAUGAUCUUGAGCGUUGAAGAGGUAGAUCGGACGGUAAAAGGUAUCAAACCGCUAUGAGAGGGCGCAGGUGGUUUGUGUAUACAGGCUCUUAAUACAUGUUAAAAUACAUUGCCUAGUCCUUUUCAUCAGUUCGGACUUUUGAGAAACUUGACGAGCGCAUCUAUUCAAUAUGGUAUCAGAGCUACAAGGUCUCAGGAUCAAAUCCUGGCCAAUGCACUAUUAAUAUAAAAAUAGCUGCGACCUAAUUCGAUCCCACUUCUAUGGUCUUCAUGUAUGUCCACAACAUAGACGUGAUGGGGAGUGUUAAAAAACAUUACCUAGUCCUUUACAUCAGUUUGGACUUUUGAGAAACUUGGCUAGCGCAUCUGUUCAAUAAUACAUAUAUCAGACAUAACAUCCAAAUGACAGGAACAUGGACAAACUUGGAGGAACACAGAUUCGUAGGAUUUUGAUUCGUAGGAUUUUGAAACGUAUGAAUAGAAAAAGUAUAGGAUUGGAGUGGCAUGCCCACUUGAUUCCUAUAGGAUUAGCAAUGAGUGUUUGAUGCUACAGCAAAAACAAAGGAAUUGUAAAAAAGAGGUUGGAGUGGAUGUUAGAUCCUAUGAAAUGUAGUACAAAAUAUUCCAUAGAAAAAUUCCUAUGGGAUUCAAUCCUAUAAAUCAAAGGACCAACAUAGGAAUAUAUCCCAAGGAUUUCAAUCCUCUAGAAAUCCUAUAAAAUUUCUUUGAAUCAAAGGAGCCCUAAGUGUGUAGAUAUUGACACAAGUUUUGAUAAUUCCGAUCCUCUGGUCCAAAUUAAUUCACGCAGAUUCACUGAAUCUAGAUGGAUUUAGACAAAAUAUUGUCUAAAUCUGCGUCAAUUAAUUCGGAAUGGGAGGAAAUAUUUUAUGGUCAAUUGGUUUUAAUGUCCCCGGUGCGAAGAUAUAAAGUCAGUAUUGGCAUUUAUUAAUUACUAUUAGACUAGAAAACAUAUCUACCACCAUUACUGCUCUCGAUUGUGUAUGCAUACAUGGAUUGCAAUCGUUGCAUAAAUCAAUCUUAUGGACGACUAUAGUAUGAGAUAUUAAGUUGCUGAAUUAAUGGGCGAUCCUUCCAUAUGAAGGAUUUUGAUGUCAUGUAUAUAUUUCCUAACAAAUAUCAAAUAUACUAAUUACUAUUGUAAAUAAUUAUUUCUCCUUUCCAAAGUAAUUGACGCAAAUUUGUUAGAUAUGCAUAUAUCUACACACUAAAAUGCGUCUAGAUACAUGCGUAUCUAGAUAAAUGUGUGUCAAUUACGAAUGGGGGGAUAUCAGUUAAUGACUGACGAAAUUUAAUGAUAGAAAGUUCAUCCCAGGCACUAUAAAUAGACAAGGCUGCAGACCUUUUGGCUUACCACACCUUAAGUUAUUCAAUCCAAGCUUUCACAAUGGCCUGCAAGAUGGCAUUAGUCUUGUCUCUAUCGGUGUUAGCAUUCUUCAUCUGCCUUGGUAAUUUAAUUAUCCAUGGUUUUGCGGUUUUAUGAAUAGUUUUACUCUAUAUAUAGUUCUAAUGGGAUGGUUUUGAAAUUUACAUCAGGUACUGCUGAAGCUGGCCCGCAGUGCAUGUACAAGCUUAAUCCUUACUAUCAUAGUAGGUGCGAGACAAAUGAUGACAACGACAAUUGUCGAAGUGCUUGUAAAAAAAUUGAGGCACCAAAGUACAUGGGUGGUAUGUGCCAUGAUGAACAAUGCGUCUGUUAUACCUGUUAAUGAUCAUCGGACUCUUCCACCGCUGGGGCAGCCAUUAAGAUAUAUCCACUUGUGCCUUGGUGGACACCACCAUAGAAAGAUUUGAGCUCCAAGGAAGAUUGUCUUUUUGGUGUAACAGAAUAAAUUGGCAAUGUAUCGAACUAUGAUUUAGCAAGUUUUUUUCCCGAUGAGUUACAUCGAAGAGUU